RNAcentral lists this long non-coding RNA (56559 nucleotides) under Setaria viridis. Its description in RNAcentral is "long non-coding RNA (SVIR_LNC001084)". Lineage: Eukaryota; Viridiplantae; Streptophyta; Magnoliopsida; Poales; Poaceae. The record is from RNAcentral.
GCGUGCCGCCCGCGCCGGCGCCCGUCACUGGCGCGGCUGCGGGUGCCGCGGCGUCGGCCCUCGCCGUGGCGUGCUCGGUCGUGCUCUCCAUCGUCGUCGCGGGUGGACUCAUGCAGUAGGUCCCGCUGCGGCCGUGGUGGCGGCGGUUCCCGGCGGAUUCGGGGUCAGGUUGGACCCUGCUUGUUUAUGCCUUAGCUAGUAGUAGUAGUGGUGGCAGUGAUGGAUGAUGGGUUGUGUGAUUGUUCCUGAUGAGUCGCCGUUGUGAUCUGUGUUAUUGCUUAUUCUUUUGUACCAUACCGCAUUGUUGGAUGUAUAUCUCUCCUGUUGAGGCGUGUGUUCUAUGAAUAAAGACGAUGGACCUCGUUCGCUCGUCAGGUGGCUUUCUUUGUUCGAGGUGUUCUCUUCAUAGCACUUGUAGACAACACACUACUUUGUGUUCUAUGCCUUGGAUACGGUUUUGGAGAGUACUGGGUAGUAACUAGGACCAGCAAGAGAUCUUUAAGCAGUUACACAACCAAAAGAUUCACUCUGAACCGUCUCGUCGGAACAUCUAACAUUUCGUCGACAAAGUUGAGAGAUGAGAGGUGUAUAUACACUGCCCCUCAAAAUAUGGGAGGAAAUGGGGCAAGUCGGAGAUCUAUUGUUCUACAGGACAGGUGCGUCGGUAACCAGAAAGAGGUGGCGGCGAAAUAGCUAUCGUGGCGAAGAGAGCACCCACGGGUUAACUGAACUUACCAUCUCUCGUCUUCAGUGACAGAGCCACCACCGUGAAGUCGCUUCAGAAUUCAGAUUUCCAGAACCAAGCUCAAAAUUAAUACUGGCUUGGAAAAACGGUAUACUAGACAUGCUGCAGAGCGUACGAGUAUGAUUUAGUUUGGUCACAACAACCAAUCAACUACCAACUGGACAGGAAGUGCUAGCAAGCUUCCAAUUGGCUCGAUUUGGACUGCUCCCUUCUAGAUGUCAUGAACAUUCAGCAGGAGAUAAAAUUCAGAAAUGACUGCCCUCUUUUCUGGAUGUUUUUUAAUAUUCAUUACAAAGCCAAAUCCAGCCAUUCAGGAAUGCCAUGUCUGGUCAAAGAACUCACUCCAACCAACUCAGCCUGUUUGGUGAAAGAUGCUACACGAACUGUGCACUUGAAGUAACGAUUGGGUUUUCCGUUUUCCCUAGACAUGCAGCCGAGUCAGUAGGUACGACAACCUGGGAAACAAGCAGGGUUUGUGAUCAGCUAGUAGCGUAAAAGCAAUAUAGCAUCGUAUAGGAAGCUUGGUAGGAUAUAGAACACCCACCUCAUAAGCCUGGCAAUCGCAGCACUUGCACCGUCAGCAUCAUUGUGAUUCAGUAAAGCGUCUUCCAAACGGCCAUCGCUGUAGGCAUGCUGAAAAAGAUGCAAUAUAAUUACAGGUGUGAGAACUAGGAUUCGUUCUAAGAAUAUUUUACCGAUGAAUUCAAAACAUAGAAGUACAUUCAUUAAGUAAUCUGAAUUAUUCAUUCACAUUAAAUAACUGGAAUUUCUUUGGAAUAGUGCAUAGCACCACCGGAAGACUCACAAGAUGCUAUUACUGCAACAGGAAACUCAUAUAGGACUAGGAACUAAAGUGAGCCCUUGUGGAGGGCCAUUAAGCAGUUCAUCAGGACAAACAGUAUAGUUUCUCUUCCAAGUUCUGAAGCGCUAUGACAGUCACUACUGGACGGUAUCAAUUAUCAGAAACAUGUGUUGUACCUUUGAUAUCAUUUUCUCGAAAUGAAAAUCUUCAGAUAUCAAAACGAAUGGGCAGAUGUCUUCAAUAAAUAAACAGAUAUUGUACUGUAUUAUGAAAUGGUAGCUGCUCAUUGUGGGCAUGCAGUUUGAAGGAGCACAGUUCAGCUUAAAAUUACGAUCGAAUUCAAGUACUGACAGCAAGCAGCUUAAAAUUGCAAAUUGCUAUAGAAGGUUCCACUUUCAAAUUACAAAGAUGUAUUGGCAACAAAACUGGCAUCGUUAACUGGAAAAUGUCACUUAUGAUAAGUUGAUUGUGUUUCACCCAAACAUGGGAAGACACAUAAUACUGCUCUGAAGCAUGUAACUGAACAAAAAGGCAGGAAGUAGGCAGCUGGAAAAAUUUAGUUGUAAUUCUGACAUUACAGCAGACAUUCUUCACAAUACGAAACAUUUAGACAACAUAACUGUACCUUGUAAAAGCAGCUGCUCCCAAAGGGGCAAGUGCCCUUUCCGAAGUCAAAGUGCUUACAAUCAAUAGACCUGCAACAACAUAUGCGCAGAUAGUGAAUCAGCUUCCGCUGUGGCAGAAAAUACAACAGAAGUUUUAUUCCAAGCAGAUCAGCAAUCCAUCUUAGAAAACAGCAUUUGCAUUACUUAACGCAAAUUAAACACUACAGAUAUCUUGCUGUUAUUAAGCUGAGCAGUUUGAAACAUAUCACAUAAACAAUGUGCAUAAGGAUAAAACAAAACUUCAAAUCAAUUAUCUUACCUAAGCUUAGCCUUGUAGCCUUCAACGAUUUCCUGUUUUUCUUCCUUCGAGGAGUACCACGUAACGCUAGGAACUACAUAGUAUGACAAUUUGCGGCAUAUUGGACAAGCCCUGAGUGUAGAGUUGACAUCCAUGCCAGACGUAGGAGAGGUGCUACGCCAAUUCCUAAUGCACGAGAUACAGAAGGAAUGGUCACAGUCAGAUAGCAGACCAAACCUCCUUUCUGCUGCUGUAGGUUUUGAAAACACACGGUCCAAGCACACACCGCAUUCUAUAUCUUCACUUUUUCUCAAGGCAUCAAGAAGUCUGUUGUUUUUCUUGCAUAGCUUGACAUGCACACCACUUUCGUCAGGACGGUAAGGAUGCAAGCACUGUUUUUCACAGAAUGCGCAUAGAUCUCCAUGCAUCUGAGAACAGCCUUUCCCAUAAGGGCAAGUGCCAGCAGCAGCAGAAGAGCAAAUUGGCAUAUAAGCAGGAUCUUGAGAUGUUUGAUUUUGCACAGUUUGAUAGGACGGCCAGCUGUUAGCAUCCUCUGGAGUGUCAUGUUCAUGAUAAUCAACUGCCCAUGCAGGUUGAUGUGCAGAAAGUGCUGUUGUAGACUCGCAUAUCUGCUGCGUUUGGUCCCAUAGAUCCGUUUGGUAUUCACUGCAAUGACUUCCAGAAGAAGUGACUAGCUGAGAAGAAUUGGAGGAUGCACGCGCUGCAGUGGUUGCUGGUUGGGAGCAGUUCCGAUGAACUUCAACAUGUUCAUUUCUGCAAUGGCUACCAAAGGAGCAUGCGCCUUUCUGGUAAAAUGUGCAAACCUGUAGGUGAGAGCAUUACAAUAAGAAAUACUGGAUCAUGCAAAUGUAAAUCAGGUAGUGCAAGGAAAGUGGUCUGAUCAACUGAAGUUAGAAGUAUGUAGGUUACAUUAUCUGGUUGAUCAUUGCAGUCAUGGGAGAAUUCACAGUAAUCUCCUUUGAAGCACGCUCCAUGCAAGAAGAAUUUGCAAGGGACCCUGAUGAAUAAAAUAAAGUGAUAACAUAAGAGAUCUUCAUCAUUCUAAAUUUUUAUAUGUUCUACAUUGACAGCACCAUCAAAUUUUCAGUAUGCUAUGUCAACCGAUCUAAUCCUCAAUGAGAGGCAGCUAAGAUCAGUAUAAACAUACAAGAAGUGCAAGAUCGGUUACUCCAGCUUUUCAGGGCUUUAAACAAACAAUCUAUCCCCAGCGGUGUGUUUAUCAUGUACCACCGAACUGACAACAUGAUAGGCCUAUUUACUUUCUGUUUUCCUAGUACUUUACUGAACUUGGAAGUGUUCUUCCUGCUCAUCUUUCUAUCAUAUAAACCAUCAAUUGAGAUGUACUGUCAAACAUUUCCACACAUCCUAUUUUAUUGGUGCAGGUGUACCAAUACACUUUAAUUCAAAUUUUACCUCUAUACCCUGCCUUCUGUCCUGUUAUUCACUUAUUCUAAAAUUACACCACCACUUUCACUCAGGCUUGGGGCCUUUCGCGAAAAUAGCAAGAGCAACGGAGGAAAAAGGUAGAACCAUUGAUCCUGUAUUCCUCAUACUAUUGCAUUCAGCAAUUCAAGAGGACAUUUUUGUGCCACUCCCACUAGUUCCAUGACUCGGAAUGUACCGAGUUGAGUUGAAUACGUGAUGAAAUUCAUAAUGAUGCUCCACCAAACCACUACACGUGGUCUGAUUUUGCCACAAGCACAACCAGACGAAUUAGAAUGAAAAAGACAGGUCCCUCGGGAGAUUAAUUUAGUCGCCUCGAUGGUUACAAACGUCCUGAAACCGAAUUGCAGCCUCCCUAAAGCCAAUACUAUCUUAAUUACCACAAAUAGACAAGGACGAGCAGCAUCACGCCCAAAUCUAGACCACCGCGCUAACACCCAGCUCCAUUUGCAGGAAGACCGCGCUGCGAUGCUAUACGAAUACUGAAAUCCAAGCUAAAUCCAGACUAAAUUUCUAACACCAACACGAACGCGAUCGGCCUCUAAGCUUAACAGCAUCUCACCCAGCUCGAAAUCGCUAAAAAAUGCAGCCAAAUCGAGCAUGCAGGGGCAGGCAGCCGAAGUGUUACCUCCUCGACAUGCCCGCCGAGCCGGGAUCGAGCUGCACCGUCGACGAGUCCGGGGACACCAAGGCGACGCGAGGUCCUCCCCCGUCUCCGCCGCCGCGGGUGCCGCCCGCCGAACGCCUAGGGUUUGGUCGGUGCAGCGCGAAGCUCCGCCUCGGUCGGUACCUUUCGUCGUCCUCGCGCCUCCGCAGGUCAGCUUUGUGGUGGGCACCGAAGCGGGGAAUCGCCUUCUCCUAAAAACGGGAGGGGCGCGGAAUGACGGUUCCGCCCCCGGGGACGUGGCGGGACGAGUGGGUGGGGCUUCGGGCAGAAGCGGGAAUUCGGCGGCGGGGAGAGGGAGGGGAGCCUGGAGCUAUGUUCCCGCCUGAUUGUGCGGCCAACCAUCUCUGCUUGCGUUGCGCCUCGCGGCCGGAGGUAAACGGCGAACAGGGGUUGUUCGCUGGCGGAGGGGCUCAGGGGCGUGUGGGGCCAUGUGGGCGUGUUGUGAUCGGCAAGGCUGGCAAAGCACGUGGAGAAAAUUAACUGCGUAUCAUCAUCGAACAAAAACUUGUAAUGAAGUGUUUGGUCGAGAAUUGAGAUAGUGGCAACGCAAAUGAACGAAAUCAAAUCACUGGUAGAAUCACAGGUGGAACGAACGAUUACAAGUUUUGUUUGGUUUGAUACUUAUUACAUAGCAUGUUUAGAGGGCGUUUGGUUCCCUUUGCUUAUUUUUAGCACGUGUCACAUCGAAUGUUUAGGCACUAAUUAGGAGUAUUAAACGUAGUCUAUUUACAAAACCCAUUACGUAAGUGGAGGCUAAACGGCGAGACGAAUCUAUUAAGUAGGCUUAAUAGAUUCGUCUCGCCGUUUAGCCUCCACUUACGUAAUGGGUUUUGUAAAUAGACUACGUUUAAUACUUCUAAUUAGUAUCUAAACAUUCGAUGUGAUGGGUGCUAAGAAUAAGUUAGUGGAACUAAACACCCCCUUAUAGUAAACCUGUAGCAUCAUCGAACCUCCAGCUUUGACCUGCUUCAGGUUGCGGGUGGGCUGGGGGCAGGAGCCCCGCUACCCCGUGCCCUCUAAAAAUUUCAGUUAUGAAUGGAGAAGGGGAAGAAAGAAAAUGAGCCCCUUUCUUCAAUUUCUGGAAGCGCAAAUGGGUGUCACUCGCUAUCAGCUCCUCGUGUUAAAGGGAAUACAAGUAGAGGAGAGAACUGAAAUGCUUGCAAAGAGAGAAUAUGAUUGGUUAAUAUCGAGGAUCGAUAGUACGGAGAUUGUAACUAGUGGUUGCAGGCUAAAUCCGACCAACUACAAGUAUAUUCUUCCCGCCUCAAUUUGAUUACGUUACAAAUUUGCAAACUAUAAGCAGCGCCUAGGAUGAAUAUCGUCACAUAAACGUAGAUUCAAAUGGAUUUAUCGAGAACACGCUUAAAAUGGUCUAUUUGCGUAUUUAUAGUUAAGUUCACUUGCACUUUAUAUUGAUGUGUUUUAAGAUUAACGAGGGUAGUUACGAUUCGGAUGAUAAUGAGUUAUUGGGCAGUCAGCAGGGACGGAGUUAGGAAAAUAAAUCAAAGGAGAUCAAACAGAAUAAAUUAUAGUGUUGUAGCUAUUUUCUAUACGAUCUACUAGCAUUGAAUAAAGUAGUUCAUCGGUUCGGAAAAAAGAGAGAUUAAAGUAGUUCAUCAGGCUUAGGGGGGCAUGGCUCCCCCUGACCCCUAGCUUCGUCCAUGCUUUGUUUAUAGUCAUCACUAAUCCAUUGUCAAUGGUGUUAACAUUAAGCUAGCACAACCUCAUGUGUUUUCACUAAUCCAUGGCCACAAAACCUCGACCAAAGUGUAUUCACAUGUUCACCUCCGCUUAGGAAGCUUCUUCAUCUCUUGACAUGGCACUAACCCAUUAAAGCAAGUUACCCUGCUUAAACUCACCCCACUAGUUCUCCUUCACCACCCGAAAAAGAAAAGUAGAUGUUCUCUUUUUAAGGUCGCUAUACGAGUAAAACAUUAUAGCAGUUUUCUAAAGAAAGUUAAAUAUUGCUUGAGGAGAUGUUAUGAGUUCGAUCCACUAGAAGCGCAUAAAUUAAAUUUGAUAGAAUUUAAGUUUAUUGCAAAAGAUCCUUUGUGGCAGUUACGAACCGGUUUGCCAAGUUUUUCUAAUAGAGUGCUAGGCAAAGAGUUGCCAGGAUUUCUUACAAGAUUAAGUUGUUUUAUGCAAAAAAAAAAAAACGUUCCAAACGUUAUGCACAAAGUAGUCGAGAGUUACUCACAAAAAUUACACUAAGUCUUCGAUAAUCUCACCCUCCUUUGUUUUUUUAGUUAGAAAAUUUGCAAAAGUCCACACACAAACUAGUGGGUUUCAAAACCCCAUUUGCAUCUCGCUUGCUUACAGUGUCUGGCACAUGCAAGUUCUAUUCUAUUUUUUUCAAAUAUACGAUGUAUCCGUUGACAAACUAAUGUAGUUGUCACGAAGGAAGCCUCGUCGAUGACUUGCUCAUUCCCAGUAUGUUUGCCAAAGAGUUUUCUCAAAGUUUGGCAUGUUUAUGAUUGAGGUAAAUUCUAUUUUUCUCAAGUUUAGAUUCAAUAUUUGCGGACGAUGUGACUCCUACUUGGUUCAGCUUUUGACACAAUGGUGCGUUAACGGUGCCCACAACCACCGCAUGGGCAUUGUGAAGCUGAUUUUUCGAACCAACCUCGAGCUUCCUUUUUUCAAUAAAAAUAAAUAAAAUAAAUUGUUUCUAGGGGGACUUCGAGUCUUUCCACUGGUAGUUCAUACUACCAGUUCAGAAAACACCGGUAGGGAGAACCAGAUGCUCGCGUCUCGCGACGUCAGAACCCCCGGCCCCGGCGCCUCCCGCGCCGGCGCCGGCAACCCCCGCCCAGCCACCGCCCUUGAUACCCCUCGCAUCAGCGCUACCCAGCUUGACGCCGGCGCCGGUGCACUAUGCACUGCCGCUGGCGCCCACGCCGCCGCCGCUAGCGCAUCUCGCGCUACCGACAGCAACCACCCAACACCUCCACCCCACAACAGCCGCUUUCGCCGCGACAAGCUGACGACGCGCAAUGGAUUGGCCAGCGCUGCAAGAACUCCAGUCGACAAAGUCGCCGCUCGCCCGGGUUCCAAGCUCCAGGAACUACUCCUCCACGACUUCCACUCAGUAGCUUGCCCAGGUGCUCUCCCCUCUGCUCCGGACUCUUUUAUUUGGAUCACUCCCCCGUUCUUGGCCAUGCGUUUCAACUCCUCCUAUGUAUCCUCGGUUCUCUCCUUCCAUCUCACCGCACCCCCCUCCUCGUCCGCUCUACCGCCGUCGCCUCUGGUGUCUUCCGCGCUCGACUAUCAAGCGCCAAUGUUACCAACUUCAUCCUUUCGCGGAGGCACCUCAGUUUCGCUGGCCUAAGGUUUUGCCUUCAUCAUUCGGAAGCUCGAGCCAUGGCCACAGCCGCUUGCUUCCGUGAGGAAGACGAAGCCGUUAUUGCGGCCUACCCACUAACUGUGCCCCAGCCUGACAGGUGCGAGGCACAAGGCGCCAGUCUCCCCCAGCUCCUCCCUGGCGACCAAAUGAACGCUUUGGCAUGUCAGAGACCUGCCACUGGGUACAAUCCGCGGAUUCAGAAGGAUACGCCCUUUACUCCAAGCGCUGACCUCGGCCUGCUCCCCCUGCCGAAACACGCCUCCCGCCGCACGGAUGUGACCGGGAGUGGCGACACUGAACGCGACGUCGCGUCCGCGUUCACUGCGCCGCCCCCCCCGGCGCUCAACCCUAUCUCCUCGCUGCGCGCGCACCUGCCUCCUUAACUCCGACGCCCGCACGACGAUACUCAAAACCCAUCCCCCUCCACCACGGCGGCUGCCAUCGCUGCCUUUCUCGCGACCACCGUGUUCGGGACUGCAGAGACCCUAUACGCUGCCGCUUCUGUCGCGGGUCUGGGCACCGCGGCUACGCUUGCCCCAUGGCGUUCCCACGCGAGCAGAUUCCCCACCCCCGCCGCCGCCCCACCAUUCCCCUCCCCGCGUCACGUGUGCCAAUCAACGUGGUCCCUUUCCUCCCCCGCAACUCGCCUCCGCCUUCUGCCACGCCAACGCCUCCGUCCACCCCGCUCAACCUCCCUCCUUUCACCACGACCUUCGACCCGCUGCGUAUGCUUGCCUCCACAAGCCGUGCCCCCGCGAUCGCGGAGCGGGUGGCUGAACCGCGACACCCUACCUCGAAGGAGGGGCCGUUUGGACCUCGGCGACUUCUUCCGCGAGCCCCUAGCUGCUGCCGCAGCCCCCUCCCCCCUGAUCCACGCUGCGCUCCAUGUCGCGGCGCUGCACCUGCGCUUCCAGCUGCUCCCGUCACCCUGUGGUGUGGCACUGCUACACUUUGGCUCCCCCGCGGCGCGGGAGAUGGCAAUGGACGCGCAGCCAGUGCACCUCAACGGCGCCACUGUCACGCUCGAGUGCGCGGAGGAAACUGAUGAUCGCUUCGUCCGUGAGCCAGAAUGGCUUGCGCAUGUCGCCAUCUGGAAUCUGCCUCCCGAGCACUGGUCGGUCGAGCAGGUGCGUGACAUCCUUCGCCGUGUCGGCACCCUCAUCGAAGUGGAUCCUUUUUGCAGCCCUGGCUUCGACCGUUCCUGCAUGCGCGUGGUGAUUGAGCUGCAACACCCCCGUCUCCCCAGCCGCCUCAGCGUCCACACCCCGAGCGACCGCGGCGUCGUUCUGCGCCUGGGCGGUCUGGCCUUCUGGCCGCGCGAGCAGCAGUUCGACGAGGCGGGAGGCUGGAUCCCGUUCUUCGGCCCAACUCCGCCACCACCGCCACCUCCUCAAAACCACGGUCUACACCCCACUCUGCCGCCUAACAACCUAGCGCCUCCGCCUCCACCAGCCGCACACCUGCCAGAGCAGCAGCAUCCCGCGCCGCUACACCCAGCAUCUUUCACUGGCGCCUCAAUCCUCUGCCACGGCUUCAUAAAUCCUUUCCCCCUGCCACCCCUACCCGCUUUCCCCAUCCUGAUCCAGUUACCCCCCUCGGACACCAGUGGAGACCUGGGGAGCUAUGGCGCCAGGCCGGUCCUGCUCCUCACCUGGCGCCCCGCCGCGCCUGAACCAUGCCCGCCACCCACGCCUCCCAACACACCGUUGCCAGCGCACUCCCCCAGGCGACCUCUCGGCACUGCUGCGCCUCCCCCCCAACCCCGCCACCUGCAACAUCAGAUGCGCCCCCGCGCUGCCCAUCUCGCCCACCCCUCCGCAAACGCCAUAGCGCCCGCUUGGCGGCAAAAGAAGAUGGUAAAUUCGUGGACGCCACUGCCAAAGCAGCCCAACUCAAAGCUCUCCGCGAUAGCCUCGCACUCUGUUCGUCUGCAGUUCAAGCCCAUGUUACUAAGAAGAAGCUGCUGAUGAGGAAGAAGAAGCCAAUCUCUGGAGCGGACUUAGUGAAGCUUGCCGAUGCUGUGGGGCUCGGUCAGGAGACGGCCAAAGCUCUGGACCGGGUCCUUGCCAUCGGGAAGGCCACUGCUGCUCAGCUGAACAAGGUGCUUGACGCCCCCAAUGCUUGAACUCCGGAAGGCUUGCACCCGUUUCUGCUGUUUGCCCACUCUUUGCAGAGACGUCAGCUACCUGUCCGCCUAUGUGUGUCUGUUGCUUCUUCGCCAUGGGUCUAGUGUCUGGUCCUCCAGUGUCUUAGCUCCUCGUCUUAUGCCUCUAAUGGAUGUUCUCCUGCUCUCACUCUGGUGUUGUAAUCGUACCUAUGAAUCUUAAUUUUAGUUCCUUUUCCCUUCUAUCCUGGAAUGUUCGUGGCCUCGGAGAUCCGCACAAGUGCACGAUUGUUAAAGACUCUGUUUCCUCCUCGCAUCCUAGCAUUGUUUGUCUGCAGGAAUCCAAGCUGUGUGCCCUGGAUGGCCUCAAGGCUCGCUCCUUCUUGCCUCCUGCCAUCACCGCCUUCCGCUGUGUCGACGCCUCGGACACGCGUGGUGGGAUUAUCACUGCGUGGGAUCCAUCGAUGUUCACUGCUGAUUCUUUCAUCGCUCGACGUCAUACUCUUACUAUUUUUCUUUCCUCCACGGCCUCCAACUACUCCUUCGCGGUUACUAACAUCUAUGCUCCCGCGGACCAUCGCGACUCUCUGUCCUUUCUUGAACACCUGCAUGAACUCGCCCAACACAUCUCGGGGGCCUGGGCGUUGGUGGGCGACUUCAACCUAACCAAGAGUGGCCAAGAAAACAGCAAUGGCUCCUCCCAUCCCGGCCUCUGCGCUGCCUUCAACGCUACUAUCGACGUGCUCUCCCUCCUUGACCUGCCUCUCCUGGACCGCCUUUUCACCCGGUCCAAUCACCGCGAUUCUCCUACGCUCGCCCGCCUUGACCGCGCUCUCUUCAACUUAGCGAUGAACACAACCUUCCUGAACUCCUCCCUGUGUUCCUUACCAAAAACCACCUCUGAUCACACCCCUCUCCUCCUCCAAAUGUCCACCUCUAUCCCGAAAGCCAACGUCUUCCGCUUUGAAAACUCCUGGCUCCAGGAUAUAAACUACCUCCCUACCAUCCUGCCAGCUUGGGCUCAGAACGACAACUUUGACGCGGCUGGCGCGAUUGCUCGCGCGCUUAAGGCAGUCCGCUGCGCGUCUAAGGCUUGGGCGCGAUGUAAGCGUGCUCCCCCCGCUCUACCCUCCAACUGCAAAUUCAUCAUUUUUCUGCUUGAUGUGCUCGAAGACUUUCGCUGUCUUUCUCCAGGCGAAGCGCUGCUGCGCCGGGCGUGCCAAGACAGGCUUGCACUAGUGCUGCGCGAACGGGCUGCGUUCUGGAAACAACGCGGCAAGUUCCGCGCGAUGCGGGAAGGCGAUGCGAACACGCAGUUUUUCCACGCGCAGGCCACCAUCCGGCUGCGCCGGAAUAACAUCCGCGCCCUAAACAUCAAUGGAGUGGUGCUGAGCUCGCACCAGGAGAAGAUGACGGCUCUCACGGUCCACCUCCAGAGCUCGCACGGUGAAUCUGAGCAGGGUCGACCUUGCUUCCUUGUACUCAGGCUUGCCACGCGCGGCAAGCGCCCCGCUCCUUGCCCCCUUCACCGCAAACGAAGUGCGAGCAGCUGUCCGCGCGAUGAACAGGACAAGCUCACCGGGCCCCGACGGGUUCGGCCCCUCCUUCUAUGCCGUGGCUUGGGACACGGUAUGUCCCACGGUGAUGGCGCUUGCGCAGGCGUUCCAGGAGGGGACGGCUGAGCUCGAGCGUAUCAACCGUGCCUAUGUUGUCAUGAUACCGAAGCAUGCGGCAGCGAUGUCGCCGGGCGACUACAGGCCGAUCUGCUUGCAAAAUUGCUCCCUCAAGAUCGUCUCCAAAAUGAUGACUUCACGGCUCCAGUGUCAGAUCUCCAAGCUGGUUGACCCGGAUCAAACAGGCUUCAUCAAGGGGCGUUCGAUCUCUGAAAGCUUCAUCUAUGCAACUGAGUUGGUCCAGUGCUGUCAUAGACGACGACUGCCUAUUGUGGUCCUGAAGCUGGACUUCGCAAAAGCAUUUGAUUUAGUCGAUUGGCGCUGCCUGGCUACCGUUCUCGCGGCUCGGGGGUUCCCUGCGCAAUGGACUGCGUGGACUCUCUCGUUGCUGCACAGCUCCAAACUCGCGGUACUGAUGAAUGGGGUGCCUGGGCCUUGGUUUCCCUGCAAACGCGGUCUUCGGCAGGGUGAUCCGCUGUCUCCUUACCUGUUCCUGCUCGUUUCAAAUGUGCUCCAGCAAAUGAUCAAGCAAGAUCGCAGAAUACUCCACCCGGCCAGCUCUGACCAUCCAUGCCCGGUGUUACAGUAUGCGGACGACACAUUGAUCCUCCUGCAGGCCGACCAGGAUAGUGUGGUGGCUCUGAAGCAAGUGCUGGACCUCUUCUCUGAUCUCACUGGGCUGCACAUAAACUUUAGCAAAAGCACCAUGGUUCCUAUGAACGUCGACAUACAUCAGGUAACUGCCUUGCAGCAAGUCCUUGGCUGUCAGCUCGGCUCUUUCCCUCAAUCUUACUUGGGGCUCCCCUUAUCAAAUGAGAAGCUCAAACUCUCGGCCUUCACCCCUCUGAUUGCCCGGGCAGACCGACAGCUCAGUGGAUGGCGCGCCUGCCUCCUCAACUCCGCAGGGCGAGCUGUGCUGAUAAACAGCGUCAUGGAUAGCCAGUUGACGUAUGCAAUGUCCGUUCUCCUCCCUCCCCCUGGAGUGGUGGAUGCUUCAAACCGUCGACGACGAAGUUUUCUUUGGGCUGGAGAGGAUACGGUCAGUGGUGCUCACUGCCUUGUCGCCUGGGGGCCUGCCAGCCGAAAAAGCAAGGGGGGCUAGGCAUCAAAGAGCUUGGCGCGAAGAACCAAAGUUUGUUGUUGAAGCUUCUACACCGCAUCUUCCGGCCGGGGGAGUCCUCCUGGGCGCGGUGGGUACGCGAGAGGAUUAAUCUAGCCUCGCUACAAGGAUCCCUGGAAGGGGUCCAUUGGGCAGCUCUGGGCAGCAUGCUGCCGCUAUACCGUGCUGUCACGAGCUCUGAAGUUGUCAAUGGCGAGAGCACGAGCUUCUGGCAGGACAGAUGGCUAUCGGUUGGCCGGCUGGCUGCACUAUAUCCUGCUUUGUACUCCCACACUACACAACCGGAAGCCUCGGUGUCGCAAGUCAUUACCGACGGGAUCCACAGGCACCUGAUGCCCAGGCUGACCCAUGCGGCUGCUGCUGAAUUAGACGACCUGAACCUCAAGAUUGGCCAUAUUGCCUUGGGCAGUGCCAAAGACCAACGGCAUAGCACUUUGCCCCCCCCAAUGCGCACUUCCAGUCUGGUGCUGCCUACAAUAAGAUCAUGGAAGCAACCGGGCCUCCUACCUGCACCUUUGCCAAAUUUGUUUGGUCCAACCGAGCACCCCCUCGCGUGCAGUUCUUCGCCUGGCUGAUGGUUCAGGAACGGAUCAGCUGCCAUGCAAAUCUCGUCAAGAAGCACAUCCUCGCUGACCCGGCGUGUGCGCUGUGUGGCCAGCCAGAAGAUUGCGACCAUCUGAUCCUUCACUGCCGCUUUGCUGCUCAAGUCUGGUUGGCGCUUCCCGCCGACACAACUGGAGUUUCGGUUCGCUGUCUGUGGAAUAUCCCCCGCCCCACGACGGUGCCGAGCCGCUACUACUCCAGUUUCAUCCUUCUCGUCUGUUGGUUGCUAUGGAAAUCCCGUAAUGAGCUUGUUUUCCAGAACAUUACCCCGUCGGUCGGGCGCUUCUGGCUUGCAUGCCGCGACGAAGCCCGGCUAUGGAGCCACCGGCUAAAGGUCGAGGAUCGUCGGAUAGCGGAUGCCUGGUGUCUACUUUUUAGUUCAAUGUAAACUAAUGUAAUUCUCCAUCCCUCCCCCGCCUCGUUUUAUUGCUUAAGAUCUAAUGUACUUGCAUUUGGCCACCCUUCGGCCCCUAUAAUGAAAUCAGGUGGGGCACUCCCCCCGUUGACCCCUCAAAAAAAAAUUGUUUCUAGACUAGGUUCGAAAAACUUAAUUUCACUGAUCAAGGCCAGCCCUGUAACAAAUGUUGGCGGGCUAAAACCCAGCAUACUUCUUGAACCGAGCCCGGUUUUAAACGCGCAUGUAGUUGGAUUGUAGGAAAGCCAGAUGGAUAUUUAAAAGCCCCUAGCUUUACAAAUUUUCUUUUUAUUUCGAAAGAAAUUCUGCUUUAUACCUACACUAUCUCGAGAUUAUUGCCACCAGGAUAUUCGUACAGGCCUGCCCCUCACCGCAUCAGCGGGAACAACUUCGGUGCUUUGUGACGAUACAUGACCUCCUCGUUGACCUAAAAAAAAAUACAAAUGCGUGGACCAUUCCAAUUCGAUGUUUCCUACUUCCCAUGCAGUCACUUUCAUAUUUGAACUUUCCGCGACGAGAUAAAUAAAGAACCCUCCUUUAUUCCCCCAUCAGCCACCCCCUCCACAAAUCCAAAUCGCGCGUUCUUCCGCACCGGCUAUCCAACUUGGAAAAGCUACGAUUUCUCUGUUGCCCUUGCCCCUUUACAAUCGAGAACGGACGGUCGAGACUUCGGCCUAAAAUCGAAAAGAAUUCACCAAUAAACAACCGUAUGAUUGAGCAACCAAUAUUGUUUCCAGUCCCUAUCAAAAUCACGAGUGCUAGGGCCUGUUUGGUUAAUGGGAUUAAAGUUUCUAUCAUAUCGAAUGUUUAAAUACUAACUAGGAGUAUUAAAUAUAAGUUAGGGGUGUUUGGGAACACCGUGCUAAACUUUGGCACCUGUCACAUCGGAUGUUUGAUACUAAUUAGGAGUAUUAAAUAUAGUCUAAUUACAAAACUAAUUACAUAGAUGGAGUCUAAUUCGCGAGACAAAUAUAUUAAGGCUAAUUAAUCCAUCAUUAGCAAAUGGUUACUGUAGCACCACAUUAUCAAAUCAUGGACUAAUUAGGCUUAAUAGAUUCGUCUCGCGAAUUAGACUCCAUCUAUGCAAUUAGUUUUGUAAUUAGCUCAUGUUUAGUCCUCCUAAUUAGCAUCCGAACAUCUGAUGUGACCCUGCUAAAGUUUAGUAUCUCGUAUCCACCCCUUACUUAGAAAAUCAAUUGCAUAAAUGAAGGCUAAUUUGUAAGACGAAUCUAUUAAGCCUAAUUAGUCCAUGACUUGACCAUGUGAUGCUACAGUAAAUAUGUGCUAAGCAUGGAUUAAUUAGGAUUAAUAAAUUCGUCUCGCGAAUUAGUCACAGCUUAUGCAAUUAGUUUUAUAAUUAGUUCACGUUUAGUCCUUCUGUAUCAAACAUCCUCCGAACUAAAAAUUCCAAACACCCCAUAAAAAAUCAAAAAUAGAAGAAAUACAUGCAUCCAGCCUAGUUGCUGACCAUCCAUCCAUCCCAUCCCCAAAAGGCCGCAACCAACCUGCACGUUUCGCACACCCCCAGCCCAUGUUCCGUGCCGCCCUUUCACACUCCGCCCCCGCCCGCCUUCCCCCAAACUUCCCUCGCGCCGGACCCGAUCUGACCAACCAACCCCACAUGGCGGCGCGCAUCCACCGUCCAUCCAGCCCCAAACAAACCCUAGCCCCUCGAUCCGCCGUCCAAUGCCCCAUUUCGCACCAACCACGUCCGCACCCCUCGCGCGCCCCCCGCUGGCCUCGCGCCGGACCCGAUCUGACCAACCAACCCCACAUGGCGGCGCGCAUCCACCGUCCAUCCAGCCCCAAACAAACCCUAGCCCCUCGAUCCGCCGUCCAAUGCCCCAUUUCGCACCAACCACGUCCGCACCCCUCGCGCGCCCCCCGCUGGCCGAUCCCGCCGCGCGGUCUUCGGCGCGCCGCAGCGGAUCCCGCGUGGCGGAGCGAAUCAAAAAACCCGGCAUGGAACGGAACGGCCCCGGUGUGGCCCACCGCGUGGGCGGGGCGCGCGGAUCCACCGGCCCCGCCCGAUCGGACGGCCAGGGCGCGCGGGAGGCCCCACGCGGAGGGAGGGGGGUGUACGCGACUGUGGGGCGACGCUGCGGUGGCGGCGCGGCGGAGAUAAAAGGGCACGCCCCGAGAAGGCCUCGCUCCCCCUCCCAACUCGACGCGCCUCUGAAAGAUCGGAGCCGCCGCCCAGUCUGCCCUCCCUCCCCCCGCCUCCGGUGCCGAAGGGUGAGAGUCUCUCCUUCGCGUCCCCGCCUCCCGUCCUCUGCUCCCGAUUUAGCCUCGUGCUCUCUCGCUCCUAUUUGUGGCGAUCCGUGCCAGAGUGGUGUUAUAUAUAGAUCUGCUCGUUCGGUUGUCCCCUAGAUCCAUUUUCUCCGUUUGUUUUCGCUUGGGAAUUGUUCGUGUGGUGGUCUCGGCCUCUGGGGUUCGUCCAGAUCGGUGCUUCCUGCAUCUGGUAAGGACUGAGAGGCUCACCUGCUGGUCGGUUCAUCUGUGCUUCAGAUCUACCUUGUUUCUUCGUAGAUGUGUGCAUCGCGGGGUUCUCAUGUACUAGCUGGCUCGGAAUCUUGAGAUCUCCGUGGAAUCUUUAGAUCGCGAGGUUAUUGGUUGGUCAGCCGGGGAAGUGGGACAGGGCGAAGAAAAAUAUGGCGCUAUUUUGACUGUUAUUUCGUGAUAGUGACGGUGGCGCGUCAGAUCCGGCUAUGCUGUUUGCACCCGAUGGCGAUCUGACGGCGGCCACCCGUCUCAAUAAUAUCGGUUUAAAUGUGAAAUUUUUUAGACUUGAUCUACCAAUCAUGUGAAAACGAUCUUUGUUAGCAAUCUCCCGGCCGUAGAUCUGUUAUCAGUUCUGUCUUGCGUACAUAAUAGCUGUCGUAUUCCAUGAACACCUUUUUGUGCAGUUUAUUUAGUAGGGAUAUGGGUUUGACUUAUGCUUCAAGCUGUUGAAACCAGUUGUAUCUAAAUGCCCAGUCUCCGUGAACAACUUGUAUUUUGUUACUAUGUAACCUUAGAUCUUUCUGUAUUCAAGGUCUUUAUUGGUACUGCAAACAGCCACCCCCUGUUUAGGGUUCAUCUGUUUUUAAACUACGACUGGAGCAGUCUCCAAACUGUUGAUGCUAUGAUGUUUUUCAGUGCCUAUCAUAGUUUGGUUUGGAGAUCAGGAUAUUCUGCAUUAAUACAGGGUUCCUUCGUUCUUAACUAGAGCAGGCUCCUGAUGCUAUGAUGUUUUCAAUGCUUAUUGUAGUUAGGUUUGGAGAUCAGGAUAGCAUUUGUUAUACGGCUUGGAGGAAUUUGUUACAGUCCAGAACUGUUAGCAUGCUGUAUCUUACUGUCUGUAAUUUUAGUUGCUUGGUUCCUUUGUAUGCAUCUGUUUUACUGCCUGAUAAUUGUUUGUUAGACUUAGGAAACAUAAGUUCAUCUAUGUUUUAUCUCUACAUUGUGCUCUGAAUAUGCUAAUUAACAUGAUGGUAGCAGAUGUUUAAUUUUAAGAGUAAUUGCUUGGUUGAUUUAAAAUUCUGUUUGUGUUUGAAGGGCCUCCACUUUGUCAACGUAUGUUUUGGAACUUAAAAAAAUAUUGCACCUACUGUAAUCUGUUGAAAUGUUUGUGCAGUAGCUAUGCUAGAAACCUUCAGAUCUUUUCUUCAUCAGUCAAAUGUAGGUGAUCCUAUUCUGUUUCUGCUGCUGUGCACUUUCCUAACAUAUCUGCUUGUUGAUGUUAUGGUGCAGGAAAUUGUUUUGAGGUGGUGAUGGCGGACCAGGUCAACCAACCAACUGUCCUUCAUAAGCUCGGUGGCCAGUUCCACCUGAGCUCCAGCUUCUCAGAAGGUGUACGGGCCCGUAACAUCUGCCCUUCUGUCUCGUCUUAUGAGAGGAGAUUUCCCACAAGGAACUACAUGACCCAGAGCCUUUGGGGCCCUUCAAUGUCUGUCAGUGGUGGCAUCAAUGUCCCAGCGGUGUCAUCCUCUCCGCUUUUUGCUAAUGCUCCAGCUGAGAAAGGAGGCAAAAACUUCAUGGUUGAUUUCCUCAUGGGUGGUGUUUCAGCUGCUGUUUCAAAGACUGCUGCUGCUCCCAUUGAGCGUGUCAAGCUGCUUAUUCAGAACCAGGAUGAGAUGAUCAAGGCUGGUAGGCUGUCUGAGCCAUACAAGGGUAUUGGUGACUGCUUCAAACGUACCAUCAAGGAUGAGGGUUUCUCCUCCUUGUGGAGGGGUAACACUGCUAACGUUAUCCGCUACUUCCCUACUCAGGUAGCCCUCGCCUUUCUUCACUUUCCUUAUGCAUGGUAGCAGAGUUUUAUUUUAUUUUCCGUUGUUAGCUGUUGUAUACCGAACAUAUGUUUGUUCGGUACUCCUGUGAUUACUAUCUUUUUUAUAGCAUCCCUUUUUUGUCCUAAGGUUGUUUUAGAAACCAGACCCUUUUUCUCUAGCUGUGUAUAAAGUUAGAAACUAGAUCUGGUUCCUUGAUAAUCCAAUUAUUUUGUUUUCUGUUUUGUUGGUGGGUAAGUUUUAUUUAUAUUCUUACCUUAACAUUUGUUUUUCUUUGUCCUAGGCAUUGAACUUUGCAUUCAAGGACUACUUCAAGAGGCUGUUCAACUUCAAGAAGGACAAGGAUGGUUACUGGAAGUGGUUUGCUGGCAACCUUGCCUCUGGUGGUGCUGCUGGUGCGUCCUCCCUGUUUUUUGUGUACUCCCUGGACUAUGCGAGGACAAGGCUGGCCAAUGACGCAAAGGCAGCCAAGGGAGGAGGUGAUAGGCAAUUCAAUGGUCUUGUGGAUGUCUACCGCAAGACUCUAAAGUCCGAUGGUAUUGCUGGGCUUUACCGUGGGUUCAACAUCUCUUGUGUUGGAAUCAUUGUGUACCGUGGUCUGUACUUCGGGCUGUACGAUUCUAUCAAGCCAGUUGUCCUUACCGGCAAUCUCCAGGUUUGGUCUACUGCCAUUCUGUUUCUCUUUAGCUCAGUUGCUUGGGGUAUGAGCGCCCUAAGCUGUGUUUUUAGUGAUACGAGAGUAAGUUUGUUUUUGUUCUUUGCAGGACAAUUUCUUUGCCAGCUUUGCCCUGGGUUGGCUGAUCACCAACGGCGCUGGUCUUGCAUCUUACCCCAUUGACACUGUCCGCAGAAGGAUGAUGAUGACGUCUGGUGAGGCUGUCAAGUACAAGAGCUCCAUGGAUGCCUUCCAGCAGAUCCUGAAGAAGGAGGGCCCUAAGUCAUUGUUCAAGGGGGCUGGUGCCAACAUCCUCCGUGCCAUUGCUGGUGCUGGUGUGCUUUCUGGCUAUGACCAGCUUCAGAUCCUCUUCUUCGGGAAGAAGUACGGCUCGGGCGGUGCUUAAAUGAAGAAAAAUGAUGACGAACAAGAGCAGUUUGUUCCCGGUCCUGCCCAAUCAGGAUCUGGUGAAGUUUUUGCCUUUCAUAUCCAAAAGUAAUAAUUCAUGUAGAGGGAGGAUUCUUCCAACAUUCGUUUUGGGUGGAGGCUUCGAUCUCCAAACAGUAUCUUAACUAUCCUAGACGGUGGCAUCGGUCCCCGGAAACAUUUGUCGUCAUAGGUUGAGUCGAGUCUGCCCAACUUUUAUCAGUCGGGCAAUUUUCCUUCAUACAUUAUUACCUUCGAUCAAGUAUCGGAUGAGAGUCAAGUUGCUGCGGUUAAUUGUUUUCUUACAUGUUGCCAUGCUUUAUGUCAUCAAUGAUCUGGUUGAGCUCAUUUGUCUUAUUUGUUUCGUCUCAUAUGAAAGCUUCAUGUGGUGCUUUCCCAUGUUCUGAUUUGGUUAAUUUGGACCUGCAUUUGAAGAUACCUAGUGCAGCAUAGUAAGCUUGGGAAACUUUAGCUCAAACUUGUUCGUGCUGUAGAAGAAGCUCCAUAAUAAACACAUGAGAUGCGUCAAGAUCCUCCUUUUAGAUGCUCUACUCGUUUAACUUAUGAUGUACAUUGCUAUUCUAGCUAUUUUCUAGAGAGAAGCGGGAUCCAAGAUCAAACCUUGCUAUUCUAGCUGUUACCUAGAGAGGAAGUGAGGAACUGAAUCUUAGAUCAAACCCGAGGAUUAAGAAAUAGGAGUUUGGAACCAGAUGUAAAGCGGUCUACUGCAGCAGAGGCAACAAAAAACUUUCCAGUUUCUCUGUGAUCCUGAGUUCUUAUAUAGAACACAAAACAGCACAAAGUUGUAGCAUUCCUUGUAGUAAACGGGACCAUUUUGCCUACAAAUCUACAACCUAAACAUUCAAGAAACUGAGACUUCGGAGUGUUUAUGGACCGAACCAAUGCCUAGAGUGUUUAAGGACCGAACCAAUGCCGUGAUGCACAAAUGUGAAGGUGAGUAUAAUUUCAUGCCUUUUAACUUACAAAUGAAGAGCCAUGUUGAAUUGGAAACUAAGGAGCCAAUAGUUUUCACCGUAAAUCUAACACUGAAUUAUCAGUUUCUGCAGCAAUACUAGCAGCAAACCAUAUCUGAGGAAUUCAGGAGCCCAUACAAACAAAGGCAGACAAGUAGCUGCAUAAAAAGUUUCAAACAAGCAUGCAUCUUGGGAAUUCAUAUAUAAAACUAUGCUGUACGAGAUGGCAACCAUCCUCUUCUGUGGCUCCUGAACAAGAAACCGAACAGAAAUAUAGUUUCAUUUCGUUAUUAUAGUGAAACCAUAAGUUGGGACAGUAACGAAACCAGUGGACAUGUAACCAAAAUGACAAUGAGCCAGCCAGCCUUUAUCACUUAAUCAAUCGUAUACAUACUAAUACUACUUAUCAGCAAUACAUCAGCCAAAUCUAAACAUUCUCUGAUUAUCAAAUAAGUUAGUGCAUGAGAACUAGACUGGGAGGGAAUCCUUCAUCCAAGCAAGCUGCAGAGGAACCAGUAAGCUGUGUUAAGCAGGAAGAAGACAAGCAGCCAAGAGAUCUUCUGAAUGCGGUGAUGUAACCAAGGUAGCAGCUUAAUCACAGCAUGAUUUUAAUCAGAACAGUAUAAGUCCAAUCUGAAGGGAGCAUGACUUAACAUGAAAACAUAGCAGAUGUCAGCUUGGGAGACAGAAUGGGCACUCAACAUCUCUGUUUAAAGUUCUCUCUGUUAGAUUUCAGGAGGAAGUUGCCCAGCACAUGCAGCGGCAUAAUGAACUGGCAGCAUUGGAACAAUUUCCUUGUAACGUUCAAUGAACCUUACAGCAAAUUUCUGCUCAGUUGAACAAACCACAUUGUAGAAGUCAAUAUCAUCUUUUACCAGUCCUUUCGCCCUCAGAACCUUUAGGACAUAAUGCCGGGGCAUCAUCCGCCUCUCCAUGCUAUGACUCAACACUGCUGGCCUAUGCACAAUGUACUUGGCCUCCAGACCAACCUCCAUCUUCAGGAACGCCACUGUACGGGUCAGAUUGACCUCUGAUAAUUUUAGAGUGGUAGGCAUCUUGCCAACUGCAAUGCGGAGCUCAGUCUCAGAGCAUCCAAGAGCUUUCAUCAAGAAAUCCAACUUUGCGCCGACUCUCUGAGGGUUGAUGCUGUAGGUGGUUGCUAAGGCGAACUUGAACAUGGCUGAGUUACACGGCACGCCAAGCUUCUUGUGAGCACACUCCACAAUUCCCUUGAUACCCUCUGGCUUCAACAUGAACAUCCUAGGGACGAGUAAGAAGAGCUUGGCAAUACCAUCAUUAGUUAAGCCGCAUUUCAGCAGAAAAGCAAUGUUGGGCUUGACCUCACGCUCGACAUUAUGACCCAGGAGGUGUGGGUUCAUCUUGAGUACUGGGUGCACCUUGUCGUAUGAGCCCAGCAAAGAGAUGUAGAAUGCAAGACGGGGGAUCCUGAUGUGACUCUGCAAGGCAUUGGGCGCGACGGCGAUAAAGCGGGAGAUCUGCGUACGGGAGAGGCCGAUGUCACGGAGCUGGGCGAGUCGGGGGGUUAGGGUUUUGUCCACCCUAGCGCAGAGGAUCCGUGGGUCCCUGGAGAUUGCAGCGGCGAUGUCGGCUUUGGCGAGGCCGAUGUCGGCGAAGAAAGCGAGGACGGCCUCUGGGUUGGAUGGGGAUUUGAGGUGGACGAGGUACCUGGAGGAUCUGAGGGCUUGCACCGGCGUAAGGCCGCAGGUGGUGAUGAGGAAUUCCUCGGGAACAAAGUGAGCGUGGGGUGCGGUGGCGGUGGAGAGGUGGAGGAGGCGGUUGAGCAAGGAAUCGGGAGGGAGAGGAGAGGCCGCGCGGCCAGCGGAGAGGAGGUGGCUUCGGAGGCGCAGCAUCGCAGCUCCGGCGACAGCGGCGCGCGUGUGCUGACGCUUACAGUCAAGACCCGGCUAUUCUCGGUUGGGGUUUCCUUAGUGGGCCGGUCGAGUUGAGUUCAUGGCUGCGCCGACUGGGUGGGCUUGAUGGGGUGGCCCAUGGGGGUGUCAUCGGCGCCGGAGCCACUAGGCCCAGCUUCACAAUCGGAUCCUGAUUCACCCGGCCCAUAUAAGGAGUUGGGUCGCGAACAUUAUGAACGGGGUAACCUUUGCCGUGCAUCAAGCCAUCAACAACGGCGCAGGGCCAGCCAUACAAUUUCGGCCUAUCUCUAGCUAAUCUUUACCUAUUAUUAAAGCAAGUAAUGCCUGUGCCUGGAUUGUCGUCCGUCGUGGUCAUUUUGCAAAAAACCCCCUGACGUUUCGUGAAAUCAACCCGCAUUCCACUUUUGAAGAGACGGGGGGCUCGGUUGCUAAAAAGUGCAAAGGGAGGGUGUUAAAGGUGAAACGAGUAACGUCUCUGCCACAUUUUCGUCCGCCAUCCUAUUUUUCAGAAAAGCCCCUGAAGUUUUUAGAAAUCAACCCGCAGUCCAUAUUGUAAAGAGAAAGGGGUUCGGGUGAUAAAAGGAGAGAAGAGGGGGAGGUUCCUCGAAAUAGUGCCAGCAUCAGUCCCCACCCGCUUACUGCGUCAGCCACCAAGAAAUCGCUAGGUGCACCCGGUAAGUGCACACGUCUUUUUACCUAGAGCCCUUCCCUUGUCCCAAAAAUUCCUCAAAAAUUCUCAAAAAUACUAAAUAAUAUCCUAUGCCUGUCCAUGCCUUUCUUUUCUAUUUUUCAUCUCAUAUGAGCUCUAUUUUUCUGUAUCACUGGAGCAACGUGUGAGCGUGUCCAUAUCCAACCGCGCGGAGACCGCACACGCAACAAACUGCCGGAGCAACGCGAUAAAAAUGUUACGCAACAUGAUAAAAAAUAUGGUGCGCUAUAUGACACGAUAAAAAACAUUGUGCGCUAAGUAACGUCGUUUCGCCGUAGCAACGCACGGGCAUCUUGCUAGUAUUAUAUACAGGUGAAGAUAAAAGAUUUCAAAAACUGCAAGUUGAUUAUAAAAAAUUUAAGGGAUUUUUUUGCAAAGCUACCGGAUAAUAAAGUGCGGAAGUAAUUCUUCGUGCGAUCUGCCUAAAUUUUGGUUUUUCGUCCGUCGACGUAGAGUCCCGGUGUAAUACCGUUUCCUACACGUGUGGCGGUAAUUGAAAGUGAAAUUGGAACUGGAACCGGAACCAAAUUCUUAUUGGCUGCAAUAUAAAAAUCAAUCUAACCCAACCCUACAACUACGGACAAGAAGAAGCUUGAAAAGAACCACAUGUACGCCAGUGGGAGGCCGAUGUCCCGGGCAAUGGCGGGCUCAUCAUCGAUAUGCGCUCCGAGGUUGCCGAGCCCGUUCCCGAUUCCACCGCACGGCACCCGAGUCAUGGUGUGGCGGAUCCACUUCGGAUUUGCUUGAUUAGACAUGAUUAAACCGCCUGAUACGUGACGCUCAUGCCUUAACCAAGUAAACACGAAGUGCCGUCGGAUUUCAUCCGAUUUAACCACUUGAACAGGACCGAAUAGCAAACCCACACGAAGGUGAGCGGUUCCAGAGAAUACAACAGGUCCACUGAGUUAACAAAAUAACCAUUUAGUUUGGUCAUAAACAACAUCAGAGUUUACAAGGUUCAGAAGAAAAUAACAGAAGAUAAAACAACACGCGGAAGCUACUUCGUCGGGGUCGGAUAUCCCUGGUGAGGCCAACCGGGACAUCAGUGAUCCCUCUCUUCGCCGUCCAAGGAGGGAUCUCACUCAACCGUCCAACCCGGAGGGAGUUGGGACGGCCAAGUGCCAGCAGAGGGAGGCUCAGAUGCAGCAACUUCACCUAAAAAAGAAGAGCCACAACAAGGCUGAGCUACUAAGCUCAACAGGACUUAACCGACACGGAGUACGCUACUCCACCACUUCUAGACAUGCACGGCUUUUUGGCUGAGGGGUUUGUUUGCCAAAACCGUUAGUUGUAUCCCUACUUUCAAGUUUUAGCUCAGGUUCUAAGUUUACUAUCUGGUCUAAGUUUGCAACCUACUUCUAAACAAACAUAGAACCAACCAAAGGUAUAUACAUCAUCAUCAAGACCAUGUCAUCAUCAGAUUCCUUUAUUACUCAGGGUGACAUAGCGAUCAAGCAAUCUCAAACUGUGAGAGGCAGAUGAAUCGAUUCGAGUUUCUUAACCAUGCAUGGCGAACCUAAUCUCACGACAUCCGCGCACCGCAAGGGUCGCUUCCUGUGUCGGCCGUCCCCAUCAAUUUCCAGGCGCGUGUCAGGUCCAAACUUCCCUUGGCAUGCAAUGCUCCACAGUCCCGGUCUCUACCGUACUGUGACUGCACUUGAACCCACAUGAUGCACCAUGGGAACCUCGUUCCAGGGAUAGCAGGGGUAUAAGUCAUGCCCUAGUUCAAUCAGGUACUAGGCUUUCCUAUCCCAUACUAGGUAUGAGAUUAGUACUUUCAAACACUUGAUCACGAACACCACCACUGUCGGGCCUUAGCAAGUUUUAUAGACAGAUGGGGCGAUCAACCGACCACCAAAGAGUUACCCAAAACCUUGCCCCGUCCAUCGUCCUUAUAGUCGUAAUAGAAGAGGAACAACCAACUCCUACAACUCGCGAAGCAUCUACUCGGUCCAACAGCUAGUGUUCAGAUCAAGGGAGCUAAGUUGUGCAUCUAUGGUUCCAAACAACUCCUAUACGUAAAUGCACAAGCAUGUUAAAGAAGGCAUGCGCAAGUUUGGUAAAACACAGGGGAUUCAUGCAUCCGAGGCUUGCCUUCGAGCAAGGAGGAGGGAAACUGUUCGUCUGCUUGGUCGGCUUCGGCUUCUGGAGGCAGGAGCUCGACUACACCUUCGUCUUCUGGCGCCGGGUGCAGCUCGUAGAAGCCGUCGGCGAGGCGCAGCUCUACACGAAUGCAAUGCAUUGGUUAGCGUUUAGAUGGUUAUUUCAACAGCAACACUUGCAAGUUUGAGCCCAGAAACUUGCGGCAAGUUACAGGAGGGUGGGGAGGUUCGAUUGAGUUGGUGGAGAUCAAGAUAUAAGGGUCGGAUGGGAAGGAACUUAUGAUCUGACCCUUAAUCUAGAGGAAUAGGUGCUAGGGGUCCUCAAACUUAACGCUGAAAAGUCCCCAAGUUUACACAUACACCCUCGGUUCAAGGAAAAAGAUACAGCCGAGCCCUCGGGCGAGGCGGAAAAAGUUCGGCGGGACAGACAGGGUCGGGCGAGACGGAACCGGGGUCGGGCGGAUAGGAGGGGUCGGACGAGGCGAACAAGGGUCGGUAGCUUACCUUCGUCUUACAGAUGAGGCUUGGGGUUGGGAAAGAACAGGCUUGGGCGGAAAGACUAAGGCUUGGAACAGCGGCGAGGAUGUCCGGUGGUACUCCGACGGCGGCGGUGCUUCUUGUGGAUCACAAGCAAGCUCUUGUGCAGCACGGGGAGCAGAGGCUGGUGGAUUGGGGGAAGGUGGUGUUUGAGCGGAGAGGAGAGUUCCUCAGACUUAGGCGGUGGCGCUGUGAGCACGAACAGGGAGCAAACGGGAGGGCAGCGAUGGCAAGGGGAACUCCGGCGGGGCUCCGGCAUUCCCUUUUUAUAGCUGCGCGGAAGAGAGAAGGGGGAGCGGCGCGAAGGCCGGGGAAGAGCGAUGGAGUGCUCUGCCGGGGCGGCGAUUGAGCGAUGAGGGUGGUGGAGCAGGACUUUGGGGAUGACAUCGGCGGUCAUUGGGCACCGAUGUCAGGGCGGCGCAGGCGCGGGUUUGCCGGUGGUUGAGAUUUGGCGGAGGUGGGCGUCGUCGUGCGGUGGAUCUGAUGGAAGUGACCGGGGAAACGGCGCUAGAAACGAGGGCGCACAGGUGAGAAGACAGGCGGCUGCGGGCGCGCGGGCGAGCGUGGAGCAAUAGAUUGUCGGGCGGAGCUUCUGACAAGGCGGAAAAGGAGCUGUCGCUGCCGCGGUCUAGGUUGGCGGAGGAGGAAUCGUCGCGUAGCGAGGACCGAGGCGGCGCGACUGUGGAGAGGUGACGGAAAAGAUGGGCAGCAUCGGGCUCUGCAGUCGGGAUCUGGCGAUGUGAUGAUGGGCGCGGGCGGCGAGGUGCUGCAGAAAGGGUAGCAGAGGAGCUUCCGCCGCGAUUGGGGAAGGGAGCGCGAGAAUCCAUCCGGUCGUGGCCGGAGCAGCGGACGUCGGAGGAGUUGAGUCACGCGGCUAGGGAACUCUGAAGUGGGCAUGCAACUCGAGUGCGCCUGUCGUGGGAGAUCUGGGAGAAAGAUCUCGUGGGUCCACCGGUCAGUCUCGGUGGUCCACGGCUCAAAUUGAAGGGCGGCAUUAUGGGAAGACUUAGAAAGAUCCGAUGGUGGGUUGGGGGUCUGCGGGGUUGGAACUGGGGAGGACACGGCGAGGAGUCGGAUCACAGGGGGUCGGGAGAUCUGGAGGUUGAGCACUUAGGCUUGGUAAACUGAGACAGGUGUGGCGGAUCCACUUCGGAUUUGCUUGGUUAAACAUGAUUUAGCCGCCUGAUAUGCGACGCUCAUGCCUAAGCCGAGUUAACACGAAGUGCCGUCGGAUUUUCCUCCGAUUUAACCACUUGAACAGGACCUUUUUAGCAGACUCACACGAAGGUGAGCGGUUCCAGAGAGUACAACAAGUCCACCGAGUUAACCACUUAACCAUUGGAUUUAGUUGCGAAAAACAUCAGAGUUUUACAAGAUUUCAGAAAACAACAGAAGGUAAAACACUAGCGGAAGCAAUCGUCGGGGUCGGACGUCCUGGUGAGGCCAGACGGGACAUCAUUGAUCCCUCUCCUCGCCGUCCGAGAAGGGAUCCCACUCGACCGUCCAACCCGGAGGGAGCUGGCGGCCAAGUGCCAGCAAGAGAGGGGUCGGGGGCAGCAACUUCACCUGAAAAACAGGAGCCACAACAAGGCUGAGCUACUAAGCUCAACAAGACUUAACCGACAGGAGUAAAACUACUCCACCAUCUAGACAUGCAGGGCUUUUUGGCUGAGAGGUUUGUUUGCCAAAAGCACUGAGUAAACCCUACUUUCAAGUUUUAGCUCCGAUUCUAAGUUCUUUAACUAGUAUAGGUUUUGCAACCUAUUCUAAGCAAUCAUAGAGCCAAACAAGGUAUGUGUAUCAACAAAUCCAUGUCAUCAUCAGAUUCCUUAUUUACUCAGGGUGACAUAGCGAUCAAGCAAUCUCAAACUGUGAGAGGCAGACGAAUCGAUUCGAGUUCUUUAACCAUGCAUGGUGAACCUAGCCUCACGACAUCCGCGCACCCGGAGGUCGCUUCCUGUGUCGGCCUUCCCCAUCAAUCCCCUAACCCGUGUCGGGCCUAUUUCCUUUGGUGCAAGGUUCCACAGACCCGGCCUCUGCCGUUCUGUGACCAUGCAUGCCACCACGUGCGACAUCCAGCAAGGGAAACUCCGUUCCAAGAACAAUGGGGCGACCGCUCACGUCUAGGUUCAAUCCGGUACUAGGCUUCCUCAUCCCAUACUAAGUAUGAGGCUAGUACUUUCAAACACUUGAUCACGAACACCACCACUGUCGGGCCUUAACAAGUUUCAUAGAUAGACGGGGCGAUCAACCGACCACCAAAGAGUUACCCAAACCCUGCCCCGUCCAUCGUCCUUAUAGUUAUAACAGAAGGGUAGACAUCCAACUCCUACAACUCGCGAGUGAUAGGGAAUCACUCGGCUUUUACCGUCUCCUAGUUAAGCAAGGCAACUACUCGGUCCAACAGCUAGUGUUCAGAUCAUAGGAAACUAGGUCAUGCAUCUAGGGUUUCAAACAAUUCCUAUACGUAAGUGCACAAGCGUGUUACAGAAGGCAUGCACAAGUUUGGAAAAUAACGCAGGGUUUUCAUGCAACCGAGACUUGCCUUCAAGCAAGGAGGAAGAGAACUGCUCGACUUCGGGGGCGACUUCGGCUUCUGGGGGCAGGAGCUCAGCUACAGCUUUGUCUUCUGGCGCCGGGUGCAACUCGUAGAAGCCGUCGGCGAGGCGCAGCUCUACACGAAUGCAAUGCAAGAGUUAGCUUAGACGGUUAUUUCCACAGCAACACUUGCUCGCCUGAGCCCAGAAACUCGCGACAAAGAGCAGGAGGGUGGGGAGGUUCAAAGGAGUUGGUGGAGAUCAAGAGGUGAGGGUUGGAAAGGAACUUAUGAUCUGGUCCUUCAACUAGAGGGUUUGGUAUGCUAGGGAUCCUCAGACUCAAGCGCUGAAAGGUUUCCCAAGUUUUACACAUACACCCUCGGUUGAAGAAAAAAAUCACAGCCGAGCCCUCGGGCGAGGCGGAUAAGGGUCGGUCGGAACAGAUAGGGUCGGGCGAGACGGAACCGGGGGAGGGCGGAUAAGUGGGGUCGGGCGAAGCGGACUGGGGUCGGCAGCUUACCUUCUUCCUACAAGGAAAGCUUGGGGUCGGGAAGAAGCAGACUUGGGCGGAGGGACUAAGGCUUUGAACAACGGCUAAGACCGGCAGUGCUCCGGCGGCGGCGGUGCUUCUUGUGGAUCACAAGUGAGCUUUUACGCAGCACUGAGGAGCAAGCGGCUGGGUGGCUUAGGGAAAACGGAGGGGAGCUGAGAGGAGAGUUCCUCAAGAACUUUAAGGUGUGGUGCUAGGAGCUUGAGCAGGGAGCAAGAGAUGUGGCGGAAGGCAACAAUGGCGGAGGGAACUCCGGCGGGCUUGCGCAUUCCCUUUUAUAGCUGCUGGGAUAGGGAAGGGAGCGGCGCGGGAGAGAGAGAAGGGGAGUGGCGCGAAGGCCGGGGAAGAAGCAAUGGAGUGCUCUGCUUGGACGGCGAUUGAGCGACGGGGGCGGUGGUGCAGGACUUCGGAGAUGACGCCAGCGGUCAUUGGGUUCUGGCGUCAGGGUGGCGCAGGAGCGGGUAUGCCGGUGGUUGAGAUUUGGCGGAGGCGGGCGUCGCCGUGCGGAAGAUUUGAUGGACGCGACCGGGUUAACGGCGCUAGAAUCGAGGAUGCACAGGUGAAAAGACAUGCAGCCGCGGGCGCGCGGGCGAGCGCGGAGCAACAGAUUGUCGGGCGGCUUCUGACAGGGCGGGGGAAAGGAGCUGUCGCUGCCGUAGUCGGGGUUGGCGAAGGAGGAAUCGUCGGGUAGCGAAGACCAGGCGGCGUGACUGUGUCCGAAGUGACGGAAAAGAUGGGCGACAUUGGGCUCUGCGGCCGGGAUCUGGCGGUGUGAUGAUGGGCGCGGGAGGCGAGGCGCGACAGAAAGGUUGCAGAGGGGCUUCCGCUGCCAUUAGGGAAGGGGGCGCGAGAAUCCAUUCGGUCGCGAGCUAGAGACAAAACUGAGCGGCGGGCGUCGGAGAAGAUGAGCCACGCGGCGGGGAGACUCUGAAGCGGGCAUGCAACUCGAAUGCGCCUGCCGCGGAAGAUCUGGGGGGAAAAAGAUCUCGCGGGUCCACCGGUCAGACAGAACGGACGUUUGGGAAAGACUUAGAAGGAUCUGACGGUGAGCUGGGUUUGGCGGGGUCGGGAUCGGAGCGAAGCGGGGAGGGAUCGGGUCUCAAGGGUCGGGACCGAUCGGAAGAUUGAACUUUCAGGCGCGGCAAACGAGACAGAUGACUAUGAACAAGGGCUAGGAUAGGAUUAACCUGGAAAGAUUAGGGGGCCGGUCGUCACAACAGGGGAUCAGGGACUCGGAUUAAGAUUAACGCGAAGGAUUUUUAACCGAGGUCGUCACACAUUGGCCUGUUCGCUUCAGUUUAUAAGCCGGCUGAAAAGUUGAAAUAGGUGAUUUGUUGUGAGAGAAAAAUACUGUUUGGUGGCUGAUAAGCCGGCUGAAUAAGCUGAAGCGAACAGGCCAAUUAGAGGAUUAUCCGGCGAGUUGAUGGCCAACCUUCUGCACUCUCUGUGCUUUAUACAUGGAGAUCAAAGCGGAUGUCCUCUGUCGUCUACCGCUGUGCAGGUUCUUCAUCACCUCACACGGUGCGUCUGCAAAUCGCGGCAGGGUCUCAUGGACGCGCCAGCUGCAGCUUCCGCACGCCAGCCUCUUCGUUAACUACCUCGAGCACGAGAGGCUGCACUUCUUCGUCGCCCGCUAAUCGAGCACGGCGACACGCAGAGUCGCAGAUCAAGCACGGCCUUCUCUGGGUGGACUGAGGCAAGAGUGCAGUCGGAUGAGGAAUUGAAGCGGAGCUCCCCGAAGCUCGGCGAGGAACUGCGGGCGAGCCGCCUGGUGGGUGAGCGAGCUGCAUGCAAGCCGAGGAGGCAGCGACGGAAACAAUGGGGAUCAACCUACGGCCAACUGUGCCUCUAAUCAAGCCAACGUGUUAGAGAGUUUUGUAGCAAGAAUAGUUCAAAUGGAUUUACCAGGACUCCAUGAGUGCAUGACAAUCUAGAGAGAAAGGAGAGGGCUCGGUUUCACCAUUAAUGGAGGAAUCUGGCCAGCAGAGCUGUUGCCCAGCUACUUGCUCCUCUCUGUUUUAGCGGUGGUCGGGGGAUACACCGAGAUAGAGGAGGGGGCAGCUCAGCCAGACGGAAACAGAAAAAUACACACACACACACACACACAGAGAGAGAGAGAGAGAGAGAGCGCUGCAGGUGAAAGGAAAAGGUACAGCACGGCCACGCGACGCCACGACCCACGCGUCCAACUGCUGGUAUGUGGGGAGGGGCAGAGAGAGAGAAAGGGAGGUGAUGUGUCUACCGGGGUCUUAUGUGAUUCAAUUUCCAAUUCACUUUUCUAUUUUAAUUAGCUAUAAAUGGCAUUAAAAUUCUCUAGCUAUUUUCACCAUCUGUACAAAAGUUAAAGUUAUAGGUUCUGAAAUAUUCAAAUUAAAUCUAAACAACACUGUGGUUAUUCAACCGUACAGUACAAUGACCACAGUUAGAUUACUUACGGGGACGGAAGGAAUUACUUAAUCAAAUCAAAAUUUUACUUUACAAAAGUGUACCGAUCAUAUAAUAUUAAAAAGAUUAAAAUGAGGAGGUACCCUCAGAAAAGCUAAAGUAUAUCCGUCCUAAUGCUAUCCUUCAAACCAAACACAAAACAUGAUUCUUCCAUACUUUUAUCCCUCCAAUAGAACUAUGAUCAUCCCAUCCCAUCCCAAAAAUAAAGAAAAGUCUUCUCGAACCAAAUACAUGCUAAAAGAAUUUGUUUUUGCCGUGAUGAGGCAUGGCCAUUGUGCUAUACCCUAUAUAAUUCACUAAUAUUUUAUUCUCACACAACUUUGAUAAUAUUUUCUGGGUCCAGCCAAUUUAUGAAUGUAGGAACCUUUUUAUACAAAAUGAAGCGCUUAGAUUUCGUCCUUAACUCAAAGCUGAUUAAUCCCUACGGUAAAAGAGAGCAACAUUUUUAUUAUCUUCGUCCAUGCACGAAACCACGAAAAAUAAGGAGAAAACUGGAAAUGUCGCACAAUGAGAUUACAUAAUAAAUAACAUUUUUAAAAUCAUGCUUAAAACCAUAGUGUGAUACACAUAUGCUCUUUACCCGUAGCAACGCAUGGGCAUAUUUUGUAGUAUGUUACAAAGUCACUCUAAAAAAAUCUAUACAAAAAAUUUCCAUCACCCUUCUUUUUUAAAAACAUUUUUCCGAAAGGGAGGCUAUAUUAACGCAGCAAGGCCAUGGGCGUUGCAAUGACCACAAAUAGUUGCCAUUGCCGUUCCCAAACUUCAUCCGUUGCCUGUGAGACUGUGAAGCUGCUUUCCAAUAUCAAAGCUUCCAUGCACUCUGGACCCCAAUGGAGCGGAAAAUUCGGCGCAGCAGUUGGCCGUGUUGACGAUGCUGAGCCGCGGUACGAGCCACCGAGACGAGUUGGCGUCAGGUGCGCCAUUGAUUCGAGCGUUAGAGCCAGGCUAAUAAUUUAGCCUGCGGCUGGCUAAAUGCAAGUGCCAUGUCAUAUAUAGCUGGUAAUAUAGCUAGCUCAUAUAUAGUGUGUUUGGUUACAUGGUUUAGAUCUAGCUUGAUUAAGAUCUAGCCUGGCUCAGCUAGUACGUCCGAUUCGGUCGUACUAGUGUAGCCUGGCUUAGGUGCUUUUUUUGCAUUGCGCUGGCCUGGCUAUGUACUCUGGACAGGCAAUCAAACAAUCACAAGCUGUAUUAACUUAGCCAGGCAACCAAACACAACCUAACUUGGCUUGGCGACUAUAAUAAAGAUGCAAGUCUUCAAUGCUUGCUGUUCAUACCAUCUGUUGUUGUGGCUUAUAUCUUUGUAGCCAUUUAUCAAACAACAUGAUAAGUAUCCCAUACAAUAUAAUCUCAUUCAUUCGUUUUUAAACAGCAUAGUUUAUUUAAUAUCUAGAUAACAGGCAUACAAUAUUGGACACUUUGAUUUGUGCUCUGAAAAAUAAGGAAGCACCACAUAAUAAGCAACAUUCUUUAUCUUAGUACAUCAUACCAAGUAUCUAAAACAUGUAUCUAAGUACACCUCAAAUUCGUAUAAACAAGUAGAAUAGACUGGAAUUGUAUAAAGUGUAAAGCUUCAUCGAGACAGAGAAUAGACUGGAAUCAUAUAAAGUACGCUGCUUGACAGGGAUAAGAUUCUAUAAUCACAAACAAUUGCUCUGAGCUAAACAUUGUGGUAGUUAACAAGACACUGCUUUGAGCAAAUAGUAGAUGAUGUUGCCAAUACACGGAACAAGAGGCCGUUGCUACAUAACGAUUAAGAGAUGCAGGUCAUACUUGCAUCCGAAGAUUCAGAGAUGCAGCCUUCAUCCAUACAAACUAGAGAGAGGCAGUACAUGAUUGUCCAACGGUAGAACGGAAUGAGCCCUUCAUCAUCUACGAAAAAACUACAGAGACGCAGUACAGAUGGCCGGCGGCAGUGGCGCUGUCGAGUGUCGACCCGUCAUGCGGAGGCUCUGGCGACGGUUGGGGACGAUUUGGGCAUGAAGAUGGGGAUUUAUGCUUUGCUCAUCGGUUCAAUCUGGCGCACGAGAAAUAGCUUUGGCGUGCAAGGAAGGCGGGGUGGAGCACUGGAUCGGGAGGGAGGAAGGCGGGCCAGCAAGCGCCGGCCUUGUCGCCUGCACGGGGCUGGAAGCAUGCGCUUUUCUCUCGGGAGAUGAGUUUCAGCCGGGCGACUCGCCAUCCGCCCGGUUCAUUCUCUAUCCUCUCCUCGCCUGUCCCUCUCUUCCACCUAGGAUUUUAAUGACGUGGAACAUCUUGCAGCCUCUUACGUACUCCCUCCAUCCCUAAAUAACUGUCGUUUUCGCUUCCCGAGAAACAACUUUAACUAAAUACAUAUAAAAAUAUUAAUAUUUAUGAUACAAAUUUAAUAUCAAUAGACAGAUAUUUGAAUCUAAUUUUUUAAUAAAUUUAUUUGAAGAUACAAAUAGUGCACGUAUUUUCUACAAAUUCAGUUAAAAUUAUGAUAUGGAAAUAAAAAAUAACAGUUAUUUAGGUGCGGAGGAAGUACGCCGCAUCGGAUGGCCUUGACGCCGCGGCGGGGAGCUGCUCCAGAUCCAUGAUUGGAGCGUGAUGGGCGGCACGGGCCAUAGUAUCGGACAAUACCCCGGUCCUCGGACAAAGCUGCCCGCGCGGACAGGGAAAGGCACCGGCCAGAUCUUUACCUGCCGGAUGAAUGUCCCGGCAGGCAGGAUGAAAACUUCGGCCAGAUCAAUCACGCCGUACUACAUGGAAGUUUCUACCGUCACUGUACUGUCAAACCUACGAUUUACCGAGACACUGUCACCGUACACUUGGAUUGGGAUUCUCCCAUCUCGUUGUGCAUGGUAGAAACUUUCAAAACCGCCAACGAUCUCAUUGCAUCGAGUCAUCGUCUCAUCGACUCGGGAAUUAAAACUCCUAACCAACGCCACCACGGCUGUACAACCUGUAGAGAGGUUGCAUCGCAGGCUUGCAGCGCGGCGGAGGUCGUGCCCGUCACGUUGUCACCACUCCGUCGCCUCUUCCUCGCGGCGGAGCGAAUUAAAGGCCCUUAUCCUCUCUGCCGCUGGCGCUCGCUGCCACCGAUCGUUGGAUCCAACCAUCUCCCCCCUCGCCGCCCGCCCGCCCGCCCGCGCCCUUUGUCUUGGAGCCUUGCGCCGCGGUCCUUUCCCCCUGUCCGAAUCCGCCUCGACGUGUCCGCCUCCUCCCUCCCUUCCCUCCCUUCCCUCCUCGUGCGCUCGCCUUUUGGUGCGCUCUUGGUAUCUGUGCUCUUCCUCCCGUGCCCCUCGUCCUCCUCGUCUCUGCCACGCUUCCUUAUUCUUGUCUUGCUUGCUACCCCGGCCGCACUCUUCUUCUCUCGGCUGACGCCGCCAUUGCGCGCGAGAGCUGUGCGCGGCGGAGCGUGACGAUGUCGUCAGCGGUGGAGGCCAUCUCCUGCUCCAAGGUCGACGUCCCCGCGGCGCCGGAGCCGGAGGCGGCGGCGGCGGCGGUCAAGAAUGCAGCGGCGCCAUCGGAGAACGGCGAUGCGGCGAACGGCAAGUGUGGCGAGGCGACGCCGCAUUGCCACGACGACGAGGAGGAGGAGGAGGAGGCCCCCAAGGUCAUCGACCUCGGCCCCCGGGUCAGCAUCAAGGACCAGCUCGAGAAGGACAAGGUACGUGGGCUCGCUGCCAUUGCUGCUAAAAAUACGUCCCCAUCUCGAUCCAUGUCUAUGAUCUUGCUCUUCUUUCGGUUACGAGUAGCUUCAGUUUCAGUGCGUUUCUUCAUUUCAUUUCUUGGCCGCGUUCGAUUCACAGGACGACGAGAGCCUGCGGCGAUGGAAGGAGCAGCUCCUCGGCAGCGUGGAUUUGAACUCCGUGGGAGGUAAACUAAACUCACGGCAACAGGACACUAAAUUUUCCUGCCGAAUUGCUGGUCGCGUGCGUUCGAUUGGCUCGCGCGCGUCCUCGCGGCCUAGUUUAAUGGCGCCAGUGGGGUGGGGCAACGGCACAUGCCGCAGCUCCGCAUGUGAGAGAGCACCGCCAUGGCUGCCGAGAUGGUCCCGUGACCGUGAGGCCGUGAGCCAUUCGUUUGUUUCCCACCCCGUGCCUAACCCCGUUUCCUCCCUCGCUAAUGCGCCACCGGCCACACCCCGUACCGUACGGUGAGGUCCGUGUUGCGUUUUGCCGUAGGAAAUAAAGACGCAGGGGUGAAGGUCGGUGGCCUGUGGUGGGCUCGGUUGACGGUUAGAUACGUCGGCUGGCCGGCCGGCCGGCCACCGGCUUCCCUGCCUUUUCAUGCCGACCAGUUGAAGGAGAGGAGCACUAGUUUUUCUUGAAUGCAUGGUUAUAUGGUCUUCUUCUGCAAUGUCCAGGACUGUAGUAGUAGAACUAGAGCAGGAUAUCAAUAUCAGCAGUCAGCACCUUCCAAUCCUGGAAAAUGGCAUGCUGGUUGUUGGGCUGCUAUAGUUGAAUGGUGCUGCUUUUGCUGCUUUUAAGGUCAGCGCAUUUUGCAGGGCAUUUUUCAAGGAGCCCUUGCUUUUAGUUUAGACUUUUUACUUUUUAGACGAACGCUAAACACAUUUUCAUGCGUCUCGUGUUUUUGUUUAAUGUUAAGCACCUUCUGAACAAUCCAUGUCCCAAGUCGAAGUAGCACAUUCGAAACUUUUUUCGGCCAUUUAAAUGGGAGAUGCAAGUAUCUCGAUCAAGUAGCACAUUCAAAAUUUUUGCUGCUUUUAAGAUGAGCGCAUUUUCUCAGGGCGUUGUUGAAGGAGACCCUUGCUUUUGGUUUAGACUUUUUAGACGGUGUUAUACACAUUUUCAUGCAUUUCGUAUUUUUGUUCAGUGUUAAGCACCUUCCCGGUUUCAGUAGUGUUGGACACAUUUUCAUGCCUUGCGUAUUCAGAAUAAGCCCUGCUCUCCAUUAGAAUACAGAAUUCAGAGCAAUUCAGGUUUGAAAUUCAAGUAGCACGUUCAGAACCUUUUCAGCCAUUUGAGUGGGAGAUGCAGUAAUUCCGAUCUCGAAGUGAAGUGAAAAUUAAUACCAUCUGAAUUUGAUGCCAUAAGCAGAUCUGAAUUUUGAACCUCCUGUACGUUUGCAGAGACGCUGGAGCCGGACGUGAAGAUCAUGAGCCUGUCGAUCCUGUCGCCCGGCCGUCCCGACAUCUUCCUGCCGCUACCGGUGGAGCCCAACGCCAAGGGCGUGUGGUUCACCCUCAAGGAAGGCUCCCCAUACCGCCUCAAGUUCACCUUCUCCGUCACCAACAACAUCGUCUCCGGCCUCCGCUACACCAACACCGUCUGGAAGACCGGCCUCAAAGGUGAGACACCAACCGCCGGGAUCACGCCAUUUCCGCGCACGACCACGUUCCGGUCAUCGCCCUUGAUCAAUGAUCACACAGCUCACGGUCUGCUGGUUGUUCGCAGUUGACAGGGCCAAGGAGAUGCUCGGCACGUUCAGCCCCCAGCUGGAGCCCUACACGUACGUGACGCCGGAGGACACCACCCCGUCGGGAAUGUUUGCCCGGGGCUCCUACUCCGCCAGGACCAAGGUAAAUUAAAUCACAUGACGAGGACGAGAUCAUUCGGUUAAUUCAGGGCAGGGGUGGUCAAUAGCAAGCGGUAACUUCAGGGUUCAGAAUGAAGGUUUAUGUGACAGACAUCUUUGUUUUUUUGGCAGUUCCUCGACGACGACCGGAAGUGCUACCUGGAGAUCAACUACACCUUCGACAUCCGCCGGGAGUGGCCGUCGACGAGCUGAUCACAGCAGCUAUCGGCGGCGGCGAGGCCGGCCUGCUCGAGUCCCUGCUUCAACGUUGCUGUGCCGGAGCAGACCACUCGUUUCGUUUGUGUUUUUGCUCUUCUGCUGGGUUCAACGGUUCAUCCUGUCCCUGGGUUUUUAUAUUCGUCAUGUGCGUGCGUGUGUGAAUAUCGUUUCCAUUUGUCAGUUGGCUGUUGUGUUGGUAACGUUGGCAGACGGGCACGGUGAGGUCGGUCCAUCGGUCUGUGCGUGCGUGGGCGUGUUGAACUUACGUCAGGGUCUGUCUCGUCUUCGAACUGCCUGUUGAGUUCAGAGCAAUGAAUUGAAGCUGCGUUCUACGUGAUGCACUCGUGACCUUGAUUUUGUUUUGUGAAUGCAGCUCGUCGAUUUUAUUGUUUCGGCAUCGACGCAUCGUUAUACUGGGGAUCGGGUAACUUGAUAACUUUUGAAACCCCUGGCAACAUGACAUCUCGAAGGCAGUAAUCAGUAGCUGUGGGCGUGCAGUUUUCAGCUCACUUUGUGUUCGGUCGUUCUAUUUUCUUUCAUCGAGUCAUGCCGUAAAAGCUCAGCAUCAUUUCCGCACCAUGACGAACGAAGCAUUAUUCAGUCAGUGCCGAAUCGAUCGACCAAUCUGGGAGUUUAAUCCUUGACACUAGAACCAGAGACCAGGUCAGAGGAUGCAGAUGCCUGGGAAAAAAGGUGCGGCCGUGGACCUUGGUUGUUGAGCUCGGCAUUGACGCUGGCGCUUGCCUGUUGCCAAUAUGGUCCAGAGGCAAAAAUCGGCCUCAUGCUAGGGCCCAGAGGGCCGAAUAAACAGGUCAAGGCAGGCUGACGAAAAGAGAAUGGUCUGAUCACGCAAGGGGCCAGGCCGACCAAUCCAAACCGGUCUAGUUUGGCCCAUCACGGGCCGGAACAGAGAGACUACAUGUGGUGAAUCUGUCUGCUGACCUUCCUUCCGUCGAGCCAACUCGAGCUAAGAAAAUAAAAGACGUCGCUUCACGUGAGCGGAGUAAAAAUCGUCACGCUACAAAAGACGUGUGGGCACGUUCACGCACGCCCGCGGCUCUCUCCACCUCGUCGGUCGCAUGUGCCAUGUGAGUAUGCGACCAGACGGAGCGAGCAGAGCAAACCCGGCACAUACUUUAUUCGGAGAGCUGAGAACUCCCGCUCCUUUUCCCUCCGAACUCGGCAAUUGGCACCUGCCGCCUUUCUCCUCUUGUUCUUGCCGUCGGACCACACGCGGUAAAGAGGCCCGGCGGCAGGAGCCCGAGCGAGAUCCACGCUCAAUAUACAAAGCCUAAGGAAUGUACUGGUGACCGACGCAGCUGUACGUGCCGUCGGUGCCGAUGCCGCUAUUUGGUUUUGGCCGGUUUAUAUAUAUGCUGCUUGGGCUCGUGGCUGCAAGCCUGGCGAUCUGGAACUUUCGGAGAAUGCGUUUAGCCGGGCGCUGGGACGUCAGCGCGAGACAAUUUUUGACAGGGGGAGCGCAAUUUGUCAGCUUGGCUGGCUGCGUACACGCCCGCCCAGGCCCGUGCGAUGGUCGCUUGUUUCCCGCCGUCUACUUUACGGUGAUCUCCCCAAGGCGUUUCCCUUUCACGUCCGACGCGUGAUGGGAGUAGGCGAGUUGUUCGAACGCCCAUGCACAGAAAUGUUACUGCAUUCUUUUGGCGUUUUCUCUUCAAUUCUUUUACUUGUUGGAACCGAAAAAUUGUAGUCACCGUUAGUCACAGGUUUUUCUCUGCAAUUCUAAAUAUUUGUGCCUCCCCAUUUCUGCUGCGGAAGAAGGAGGUGACGAGGCGUACGUGUGCCCACGAGCGGUCGAACGGGGCCACGCGCGUCGCUGUGAUGGGGCCAAGGGCGGCGGCGAGGGCACAGUCAGGAAGCCAUGUGUUGUCCAUGUACGCAGAGCUGGUUCGUUCCGACGCGAACAGUGUCGAAGUCGGAACGCGCCAAGGCAAGGCCGGUGACGCUUUCGGCAACACGAAUCGCAAGGGGACAAAGAACGCGGGGUCAGGCGGUGGCCCGCGCCGAAUUGUCGGUCCGAUCUGGUAUCUCGUGCUGGGAUCGGCGCUGGCCGGUGGUGCAUUCCCCGGGCUCCUGAAUUUCUGUCCGAACAACCUGUGCAUCACCGGUUACCGUGUUAUUACCAACAUUAAUCACGAACCGUUUCUCUGUUUGCAGUCUUGUAGAGUGACUUGUAACAAUGUGACAGAUUAUCUAAUUGCUCGUUGAUGGUAAUGGAAGUUGCUUUCUGUGUAGAGAAACUGAAAAUGUUUAAUCAGUUCAGCCCUGAAGAAAUCAGUAGGAAGGGGGAGGGAAAAAAAAAGCAGUUUCCUGGAUUUGUUUACCUUUUCCAAAACCCCGGAGGAAACCUAAUUCGGCGACAGGAAACGGAAUAAACAAACAGAAAGAGACCGGGCCCACCGCUGCCCCUUACCUCCUCUCCUCGUCUCCACCACUUUCCCUCUGCACCCCGGCCCCCACGAAAUCUGGAGACCUGGACGCCAUUGCUCGCUAGCCUUUUCCGUCGAGCGCAAGGAAACCGCGCGCCACCACGGGAGGGAGGGAUUGCCGUGACCAAUUCGAAAGGUAUCUCCUCGCCGCGCCGCGCCGCCCCGUCGGCGGGACACGCCGUCUCCUCGUUGCUUUUUUUCACCCAGGGGUUCCAUUCCAUCCGGGCCGUGAGUGGCCUCCCUGAUCUGGAUUCCUCUCGCAGCCGCUGCGGGCGCGGGCGGAGUCGGGCCGCGGAGGUGGGGAGAUGUCCGCCGGAUUCGUCGGGGUCGUCGUGUCCGACCCCUCGCUGCAGGGGCAGUUCACGCAGGUCGAGCUCCGAUCGCUCAAGGCCAAGGUGACGUCCGAAUCCGUCGAUUCUCCCCUCCGCGCUGGAAACCCGCUGUUGUAUUGCGUUUGGUUCGUCAGUUUUGGUCCCGGUUGGUUAUUUUUGUUUUUGCCGGUGUUGCAGUUCGUGUCUCUGAAGAGAGAUUCCGGCCAUGUCACCACGAAGAAUCUGCCGGGGCUGAUGAAGAAGCUGAGGGGGCUCAAUGAGGUGGUCUCCGAGGAGGAGAUCGCCGCCUUCCUGUCGGAGUCGUACCCCGACAGCGAUCAGGAGAUUGAGUUCGAGUCCUUCCUCCGGGUACAUGCAUCUCGGCGUUUCUCUGAGUUCUCUGAGUUAUUGAAUUGUAAUGCGGACAGGAAUGGUGCGGUAUUCCCGAUUUAUUCUGAUGGGAGUGGGGAACCUGGCUCUGUUUCUGCAGGAGUAUCUGAAUCUGCAGGCGAGGGUGAGUGCCAAGGUAGGUGGUGGUGCUGGUGGUGGGGGUGGCAAGACCUCAUCGUCGUUCCUCAAGUCCAGCACCACUACGCUGCUGCACAAUCUCAAUCAGGCAGAGAAAUCGUCCUACGUGGCGCACAUCAACACUUAUCUCCGCGAAGACCCAUUUCUGAGGAAGUACUUGCCAAUCGACCCGUCUGGAAACCAGCUUUUUGAUCUGAUCAGGGAUGGUGUUCUGCUCUGGUGAGAUGGCUGUCUUGUUUCUAGCUAGUAGCAGAGUGCAUUCCCUUGAACUGGUUAAACGAAAUUUAUCUGAAGCUAGACCUUUCUGAUGGUUGCUCAUUUAUGGCUCAUUUUCUCAGCAAAUUGAUCAAUGUAGCUGUACCUGGGACCAUUGAUGAGAGAGCAAUAAAUAAGAAAAGAGUUCUUAAUCCAUGGGAGAGAAAUGAAAAUCAUACACUCUGCCUCAAUUCUGCCAAGGCCAUUGGAUGCACUGUUGUCAACAUUGGUACACAGGAUUUGGUGGAGGGAAGGGUAUGUUAUGUGUUCCCUCCUUGAAUGCUGCAGUUUGAUUUAUUUGGAGAAGUUAAGUGAUGAUGUUCAUGGAACUAUCUGUCCUCAAUUCCUCAAUGUAUUGUACAGUGCUUGUUAACUUUGGUACCAAAUUCACAGCGGUUACAACUUUGUACCAAUCUCUAUAUUCUUUAUAUCACCUAUUAGUACGUGCUCCCUAUAUUUUCUUGCUCUUCUCCUAUCUGCUUCUCUACAAAACUACAACAGGCACUUAGUCACCUUCUUGCAUGGACUCAAUAUUACUCUCAGUUCUCGUUUUUUAUCCAAGCAAAUCAUUGAAAACAUCAUGGCUUACACAAACUUAUAUUGUUUUGCAUGCAGCCUCAUUUAGUUCUUGGAUUGAUAUCACAAAUCAUAAAGGUAAACAUUGAACUGAGCAUUGCAUUUUGAUUUUUGGGGCAAUUCAGCAUACAGACUAUCAUCAAACUUCUGGUUCAUUGAAUAAAGAGUUGUUUGUACUUGUCAUCAGAUUCAACUUUUGGCUGAUCUGAACCUCAAGAAGACACCGCAGCUGGUGGAAUUGUUUGAUGACAGCAAGGUAAAUAAGGGCAUUUUGUCAUUGUUUUUUCCUCUGCAUGUUUUGAUUUUUUAAUUCUUUCAGCAUGUUUUCUUGAAACAAAUUCACUUUAACCCCUAUUUUGCAGGAUAUAGAUGAGGUUUUGAGCUUGUCACCAGAAAAGAUGCUACUUCGGUGGAUGAACCAUCAUCUGAAAAAAGCUGGCUACAAGAAAACUGUUAACAAUUUCUCUUCAGAUGUGAAGGUGCAUAUAAUAAACAACAAUGCCACCAAAUUAUCAGUCACUUGUUUAUUUGCUGAUACAUGCCACUUGAUUAUCUUGUCACUGCAUUUGAGUUAUAUUGACAAACUAAAGCUGGUUAUGCACCAUUUGUUAAAGACUACUUUAUUCUACUAUACCCUUAGCUGGAUGCAGUUACCAACUUACCAUCUUAGGCAUAUAGGAGUUAGGAAAAGUGUUAGACUGUGCUUGAUCCAUCAUAAUUGCUUUCUUUUUUUGAUGCUGCUGUGUUUACUUUGAUCAACAACCAUGGUCACACAAGUUAGUUCUAUACAGGAUGGUGAAGCCUAUGCUUACCUUCUGAAAGCUCUUGCUCCAGAGCAUUCCCCUGAAACUACAUUGGAUACCAAGGAUCCGGAUGAGAGGGCAAAACUGGUACUUGAACAAGCGGAGAAGUUGGACUGUAAAAGAUACCUGACCCCAAAGGAUAUCACCGAGGGAUCUGCCAAUUUAAAUCUUGCAUUUGUUGCGCAAAUAUUCCAGCAUAGGUAAAUGUGAUUAACUUUGGUUGCAUAAAAAUUUCAAUAUGUGACUUACCUCACCAAAUCACGUGAGCUAAUUUUCCCUCUGCCACAUUUACAUUAAAAGUUUAGCAGAUAAUCACUAUGGAUUCGACAUUGUCAUCUGAUCCUCACUUGGAUCCUAUUGUCCUAUGCUGCGCAGGAAUGGUCUAACGAGUGACACCAAACAAGUUACGCUCACACAGACGGCAACACGUGAUGAUGUUCUAUUGUCUAGAGAAGAAAGAGCCUUCAGAAUGUGGAUCAACAGCCUUGGGGUUGAAUCAUAUGUAAACAAUGUAUUUGAAGAUGUUCGCAACGGGUAAUAAGACAUUUGAUAGAUUUUAUAUUGAUCUCUAAAUGAGUUUGUUAUUAAUGUCCAUCCUGAUGCAGGUGGGUACUUCUUGAAGUACUUGAUAAGGUUUCUCCUGGAUCUGUCAAUUGGAAGCUGGCAUCAAAACCUCCAAUUAAAUUGCCAUUCAGAAAACUGGAGAAUUGCAAUCAAGUUGUAAAAAUCGGGAAGGAGUUAAAGUUUUCUUUAGUAAAUCUAGCUGGGAAUGAUAUUGUUCAGGGAAACAAGAAACUGAUUGUUGGUGAGUCUGUCCACGUCUAAUUUACCAGUGACACUAAUGGAUCACGCUCUUAAUAUUUAUUUGUAGCAUCAUAUAACUGAAUUCUUUGGUGUUGUCUUUCAGCACUUUUGUGGCAAUUGAUGAGAUUCAAUAUCCUUCAGCUGUUAAACAAGCUAAGAUUCCAUUCCCAAGGGUCCCAAGGAAAAGAAAUUACUGAUGCUGAUAUUCUAAACUGGGCCAACAGCAAAGUGAAAGCAUCAGGAAGAACUUCUCGAAUGGAAAGUUUCAAGGUGCUUCAAUGUCCACUGACUGAAGUCCUAUUUAUUUGUCUGAAAACUCUGGUUGCUUAGUUUCCUAUAUUCCCCUACAGGACAAGAGCUUAUCGAAUGGAUUGUUCUUCCUUGAGCUUCUUAGCGCAGUACAGCCAAGGGUUGUGAACUGGAAAGUUGUUACUAAGGGGGAAGCUGGUCUGUUCUCAGCCCUCAGCCCAUAUGCAUUCAGUUGACUAUUGGAUAGCCUUAUUUCUGACUAAUCAUUUUGUGUUCUCCACAAUUGACUUCAAAACUAAAUCAUAACUAAUCUACAAUCUGUUUUUUUCAGAUGAGGACAAGAAGCUGAAUGCUACCUACAUCAUUAGUGUUGCUAGGAAGCUUGGAUGCUCUGUAUUUCUGUUGCCAGAGGACAUCAUAGAGGUAAACUGCUAUUGCUAGUAAAUACAUUACAUGUUAAUGUAUCUGUUUAAUGUGCUGUUUAUUCUCUCUUUCUAGAACAAUGAUGCUGAUUCUCACUUGGGAAUUGUUAUUUAGCCAUUACAUUAUGGAUUCACGUUCUUACGAUCUUACCGGUUCAACAGGUGAAUCAGAAGAUGAUCCUUACACUUACCGCUAGCAUUAUGUAUUGGAGCCUACAGAAACAACCUCAGUCACAAUCUGAAAUGCCAGAGCAAUCAGAGCCAUCUAGCAUGACUUCAGAUGCAGCCUCUGAUAUUGCCUCGGAGGAUGGAGCUUCAACGACUGCGCCAUCUGAGUCCGAAGAGGUGAACUCGCUGUCUGAUAGCAUGUCCAAUUUGACAACGGAUGAUGCUACUUCGAACGCCCCAUCUACCGAAAAUGGAAAUGGUGUGGCAGGAUCCUGAUGGUUAUGCAGCUGCAGUUCUUUUUCCACAUAGUCCUGGUUUUUAAUAGAGGGAAUAGUGCUUUCGUUUCCCAAAGUCUUCGCUACCAGAAGUGAUUUUUUUUACUACUUCUGCAUCCUGUGUAUGGUAGCUUGAUAGAUACAACAAAUGCAGAUAGAUAUAGAUGCCGUUUGUUCAUUGGAUUCGCUUCAUAUCUUACUAUAGGGGAAAAAAGAUAUAGUAUAUGCUGCUGGAUGGGUAUUUUUUGUAUUGCUGGUAUACACCCAUGAAAAUCUUAUGUGCUUCUGUAUCUGGUCGGUCAAUUCGUUCAUCUGUUCCUUGGACUAGUAGUCAUUAUGUACUACUUGGUGGCCAUCAUCUAUUGUAAUGCGUUGGUAUUCUGAUGAAACAUGCCUGUACAUAACAUACUUUAAAAAGGUUUUGCCCUGCCCAGGAUUUUUUUGUAAAUACUGUUCUUUUUUCGUUCUUUUGCAUGCGAUUUGCAUAGUUCAACCUGAGAGCUCGAUUUGAUUCGACUGUUUACCUUGCAGUCAUUUCAGGUCCAAUUCAAUUCCCGUUUUAAUAUCAUUUGCAGUAGCCAAAAUGAGCAACUGCAUCGAUCACGCUUCUUUCAUCUGUGAUGACUGUUUCCUCAUGCGAACGCCAUUCCGUGCGUUGAGUUUCGUGCUUUUUUCCGCCGGUGAAACACGAUGACGAGAUGACUUCAGUUAUAUUUUCUUUUUGAAUGAUCUCAGUUGUUGAGCAUCAUUAUGCAAGUUGAUUCUAGGUAAGUACUUGCAGGGCUAAGCACUUGAAGAGGCAGGCUUAGAGGGGUAGCUCCCUGCCAUCACUCAGUACAAAGCUGCCUGGUCCCCUACUGCUACUCAAUUCCAUCAUUGCCUCCCCCCCUCUCCCUUCUUUAACUACACAACUCUCUCUUCUCAAGGCCCGGGCACUAUGCAAGUCAAGCCCGAAGCCGUGGCCCCCUCCGUCGUCUCCGCCAUUGCCAUCUCCGCCGCCGCCGCCUACCCAUCAACGCAGAAAGGUGGAGGGGAACAGCGGGGCAUGAGAGCGCGGCGGUGAUCAAGGAGUUUACCGGCCUACACGUAUCGGCGUCGCGGCAUACAAGGGCAGACCAGGCAUUCGAUUUCCUUCGUAUAUUACUCCUAGUUCAGUUGUACUAGCUAGCAAUCAUUCAUUCUCUUUCUCUUGCUUGCUUAGUUUUGGCUUCCGCAACAACGACAUUGUAUUGCUGCAGAGGGCUGUGAAUAAUCUCGCAGUUUUUUCCGGAUGGUUGGUGUUGCCUACUUGCCUUGGUUGAUCUGUGGUCGGUUCCUUGGAGAAACACACUUUCUCUGAACUGGAUGAGUGCUUCCUUCUGAGCUGUAACGUAACGAGUUUUCUCUAUGUGUUGCCUCUUGCUUCUGCCUUGCAAUCGACGUCCAAAACGCGGCGGUAUAUACAGUAGUAUAUAUAAAUGAAGUCCUGUGCCUUCUCCAUUUGCAUGUUUGGUACGUCGCGCAACAUUGUUCACCACUGCGCCUAUCCGGACUCAAACAGCUCGUUCUUGGUAGCAUCUAGCAUUGCUAGAUGGAGGAAAUUGAAUCUGCGGGAUCUCUGUAUAACAUACCAAAACGACAGUGGAGCUGCUGUACUUCGUUCACUUCCCAAACAGUGCCCCUCUGUGUAUAUCACCCCCGCCAAAUCAGUGUCGUCGAAAAUCUUCACCUGAUCGAGCACCAGGCCGCAUUGGCAAGCACCUGAUUUGGUUCCUCCGCAUCUGCACGACAACGGUGGCGUCAUCCUCGCGCCUUCUGCCUGUUCUUCGGCGAGCAUCCGGGGCCGUAUGGCCUCUCCGUGACCCUGAGAACGCCUGACCGACGUCAACGCCGGGCACAGUACACGUGCACGAGCAUCGCUCUCAUGAUCACUGUCCCGCUCGCUGGCGGGCUCACCAGUCGCUGCACGCCUGCGGACGGAGCGCUGGAACGGCUGGCACCGGGACAGCACUUGCCCUGCUUGUGCUUGGCUUUGUUUAUCAAUCGCGCUCCGGCCGCGUCCCACCAAAGACCCGCACAUGCAGUCGUCGCUGUCUGGUUCUCCCAUAAAUCGUGGUCGGCCCGCUGGCGCCGCUCGUGCAGACAACGCAGGACCGGGCCGGGGCCUGUUCGCUCCCCCACAGUGCUCGCGGCCAGGGAGACGACACGGUGCCGAGCCGACGCGAGCGGCGGCAACCUCGGCCUGCGACUGCGCUGCCCCUGCGAGGCUGCGAGCGUGUACUAGGCGUGUAGCCCGCCGGGCCAGCACCCGGUUUUCGGGCGUGGUGCUGGCUGCUGGGGGCAUUUGGCAAGUUCCGUCUCACGCAUCGCAUCGCAUCGCAUGCUGCAGCCGAGCGAUCGAGCAGCUCGCCGCUAGAUGCCAACGCAAGAUUGGCGUCCUCGGUUGGGGUUAGCAAGCGCUCGACGGGACGCCUCGAGGGCCGAGGGGUGGUGUACUGGUAUCCAAUGGCUCUGGCGAUCGGCGCCUGCUUGGCCCGUUUCGUGGAGUUGUCAUCGUCCGGGCGGGGCUGCGCGGCGCGAUCGCGUCGCGUCCCGCGUCCGCGCGUGCGUGGGUGGGUGACUGUUUCCUGUGGCUUGGUGGAGUGUGCCGAGCGCCCCCUGUUGGGGAUCUUGCCAGCAGGGCCCCAAGAUUGACGCGGCUGGCAUCGCGCCCGAGAGGGAGGGGGAUUGGAGAUUUUGCGGUGCCAUGGCAUUGGCAUGGGGUGUGGUGCGAUGCGAUGCGACCGGGCGGAGCAGGGUUGACCCUGUUGGAUUUGAGCGGCAGGGUGGGGGGACACGCGACAGGCUCAGGCGCUAUUGAAGUGGUAGCACAGUAGCAAGGGGUACUGUUCAAGUGGUAGCGCUGUUGACACUAUUGGAACUGUACCUCUAUCUCGAGAUGGAUCGGACGGUCCGCGAUGGUCGGAUCUAGACGUCUUUGCUUUCUUCCAAAUCAAGUGUCCUUGUUUUUCUCUAUAAUUUUUGUAUCCAAAAAACGGCCGAUUGGGCAAUGUAGGUUUCCAGCGGGCCAGGGUCGGCUAAUGAUACAAUCCACAUUAGUGUGGCCCAGUGGCCCUUGUCUUUCAACUCGACGACCCAACCAAAAAGAUACAGAGAACAGGCUGCAUGCCGACCCACGAGAGGCCCAGUACAUGCUGAUGGCCAGUCUAUGACUGCAGUGCUGGUGCAUGCUAAUUCCAGAUUUCCAGUUCGUUCCCUAGCUGCUGACAGUGUUGCUAAUUAUGGUGUUAGAAUACGUAGUUCCAAACUGUGCUUGUAAUCCGUUUCAAUUAUCUCUUCUAAACAUGAAUUGGCAGAGCUGCGUGCUGCCGUUGACCAGUGACCAGCCUGGGAGAAGCAAGCCUCGCCACGGGCGGCCACGUCAUUCGCUGGCGUAGCAGCACUUACGGCAUCGGUGUAUGUUUGCAAGGCUUGCACGCCGUGCGUAGCGAGAGAGAUGACUCUUAUUCUAACUCUGGUCGGAUAAGACAAGGGACUGAUCGAUUAGGAGAGCUUCGUGACAGUGGCCCUAGGCGUUGCUUUAUGAAAAAUGUUUCACGUGAAGUUAACCAAUCACGUAUUUUGGUAUACGUUCAGCAAAUUCAAGGCAGCGUACACUGUCAAGACUUGCGAGAUGUACUCGUUGGUACGUCAAGACUCGUGAAUAUUGUUAGAUUUGAAGAAUGCCAAUUCGACAUUUAAGAUGCAAACCAAACACCUGAAAUGGCAUUUAGACUCCGUUAGGGUCUUAGGGAGGGUAUCUUCCUUUUAAGCUUCACAGGCUUCAUAAAUCGGAACUCUACCAAAAGGCUCUUAAUGCAUCACUCUGUCCAACCAAACAAAACCUAUGAUCCCACCUCUAGUGCCCCAUUAACGUUACCAAUCCCGGAACCAAUCGCUAUCUUAGUAUUGGAGUCUGCUUGUAACAUGUUUCAAUUCUCUCCUCCAACGUGAAUUGGCAGUGUUUUUUAGAAGAAGAAAAAAGGACUAGCUCCUGACCAGCCGGAGAGAAAAGCGAGCUUCGCCACGGCUCUCCGUCGCGUCAUCCGCUGGCGUAACAUCACUUACGGCAUUAGCGUAUGCUCGCACGGGACGCACGCCGUGCAUGCCGCAGCGAGAGAGAUGGCUUAUUUUAACUUUUGCUUCGAUAAGACGAGGUACAGAGCGACUGGGAGAGCUCCAACCGUUUCUGUUAAAAAAAAAGUACUCGGUCGUACGUGCUCGUGUGAGACAAGUAGUCGAGCACGAGCAGGGAAAGUGACCGAGCUUUGGUUAAACUCCCCCCGGGCCUCCGCCGCGUCAUCUCUGCUGGCGUCGCAGCGCUUACGGCAUCGAGUGCGUUCGUUCGCCUAAGUCGGCAUCUCUCGCGGGCACGGUUAAAACGGCGUCCCCGCGCGCCCGGCGACACGGUCACAACCGACGUCGUUCUCGCGUGUUUUUAGAUAGUUGUAAUCUUACAAGAGCACAAGUUGUAUACACUUCUAUGCAACCUACAUCCUACGCUUAUACUCACAUGCCUAUCUUGAAGCGAUGGUCUUGGAUAUCAGUUUUCAGUACGUGUUGCCCGGUUCCGGAGGGGUUCGAACCUGGGACCUCCUGAGCCUGGUGCUACCUGAGCUUCCGGUGACCAACCGAUCCCCAGGCCCAUUCACUCAUUCUCGCGUGUUAGAAAAAGUCGCCGUUAUGAUAGGGGCCGAUGGACGCUCGAUGGGUGGAAUCGUCUGGCCUCAAGCAAGCGGUAGUGUAGUGCUAGUACUAUGGUGAUUGGUGAUGGAUGCCUAAGUAACUCCAAAAGCUCCUUAAAACAGCUCAAAAAUCUGAUUUAGGGAGAAAAAGAAAAAAUGUAUGCUCCAACAUGUCCUUCAACCUUACCAAAAAAAUACGACCACCCAAAUGUGAGAGCUCGGCGCUUUCCCAAUCACUGGAUGAGUGGAACCGGACACCGCGCAUCAACUUCCUGCGGUGUACCUGGACGCCGUGAUCGCGGUAUGCUUUGUCGCCGCGAGCGCGGUGGCGUGGCUGGCCGAUUUCGUCACGUUGCAGCCAUUCGACGCACCUCGAUAGGGACGCGUGGGUUGCCACCUCCGUGCGCGUAGUUACAGUUGUUUGAAUUAAUCGUCCACAUGGAGUGGUACUACAAAAUUACCACGCAAACUCUCCCCUCACAUCCUCCUUCUUCGCCGCUGCCUGAUGGUGAUAGAUGUCGAUCAUGAUCGGGCAUAGUGUGCGACGUUCAUCCAAUCCACCUGGACGCGUGCAGUUCUUCAUCAAGAUGCAGAUGGAGCUCACCAAGGCCACCGGCUGCGAUGCCAUGCCGCGGUCACGAGAACGGGUAUGACCGCGGAGGUAGGCAACACAAACUCUACCGCUAGCCCAACUGAGAGGCCCGCAACUGCUGACAUGGCAGUUUUGAAGUAUUGUGAAAUUUAUUGUUAGGGAUCUGCUGUGAGGUGACGUGAUUUUGAGAAAAAAAUUUAAUAGAAUUCUAGUAGAUAAUUUUGAAGAAUUUUAUUUUUGAAAAACUCUUGAAGUUGCUCUAUGCUGCUGUCAUUUCCCCGCGAGGGAAGGAAUCUAAUUUCCUGCCAUCGCGACCAUUGUUGGUCCACAACCGCAGGUCUCGAUCGGGGCCAGGGGAGCGCACGCCUAAAACAACGGCGGCACGCGCGCGGCCACGUGGGAACGACGCGAGCAUGGGCCCAAGUCAGUGCUAGUGUGACUGUAGACUGAGACAUCGCGCGCGCGGAGCUUCGUGGUCACAUGACAUGAUUGUCCCGGACUCCCGGUGAGAGCUUGCAGCGUGAAAAACACAACGCAUCUCCCCUCUGCUUGAGAAUCGGAACGCACCCUCAGAAUCCCGGACUCCACGAGUAUGCGCACACGCUCCUCCCCUUUUGGGCUGCGUAAUGAACAUCACUUACAUCAGGGGGGAAAAGAAGUUUAACGGGAUGCCUUUCUAGCUCAUGGCAUAGCCGCAUAGGUCCUGGGCUAGUGGCUGGUCUCUCGCGUCCCACGCGUACGUUUUAAUUAACAGUACACAUGGUUGGUGCGAAGCACCACUCAUUCGAACGACACUCAUCUGCAGCUGCUGCUUUCACUCAAAGAAAAUCGCUAUGCAUCCUAAGACGUCGGACUCACAUACGACCAUGUUUGGUCUAUGGGCGCCCGGCACGGCACGUGAACCUCCGUGACAUUGAUGUGAGAUUGCCUGGCUCAGAUCAAUCAAGGUGGAAGGGUAUGAUAUAUGAGAGGUCAGAGCUUAUAUUCGGUGUCUAGAAGAAAUCUUCAAAAGGUACCAACGAAAGAAACAAAGAUCCGUUUUUUUUUUGUGUGGUUGCUACUUGCUAGUAGAGUCUAACCUGGGCUGGUCAUCAGAGAUCAACAUGCAUCGGCGUUUGUUGGUCGAAUAGACUAAACGCCUCACUUAAGUCAGAAUUAUAGGAAGUAUAGAGUCACACUACUUGACAAAUCAGAAGACAACUCAUGGUAUAUGUUAUCUAUUAAGUUGUUGAGUUUACGUUGGAUGAGACCAAUAUACACUACGGCAGAAAACAUCUACCUAGCAGCUAAAAUAUAUUUGGCGGGUUUUGCACCCGCCAACAACUUUCUAUCAGUACAAAUGCGAUCUGCGCUGGCGGGUGCUUGACCGUCACCACUGCACUGGCGGAUGCUUAAGAAACCCGCCAGCAAAGAUAAUUUUAGAAAAAAAAAAGCCGAACAUAGGCGCUCGUCCGUCAGCAUCAUGGCCGCGCGCGCCGCCUCGUGUUGCAGCUCAUGUCGUCGUGAGCCCCGAGGCAGACCUUCUUGGCUCUGGACUCCACCGCGUGCGCCCGCCCCAGAGUGCCGCCGCGUACGUGCAGCGACUCAGCCUACACCUCUGCGCCAUGCGCCAGCCGCGAAUCUCCACGCGAGUGCGCCAAGCUCGGAGGCGGCAGCGAGCCUCUUAUGCCUCCUUCCCCAACCAGAGUCAACGCCGAGCGUGUAGACCCGCGUAGAGCUCGGCAGUGGCGGCAUGCCUCUGAUGCCUCCUUCCCUAAUCGGAGCGGUAGCCAGCUGUAGCAGCGGCCAAGGACAUAAGCAGCAGGGUCACCUCAUCAGCAGUUCGCUUCAUCCCCGGUGCGCGUCGGCAAUCACCCUCCACAUCCUUGCCAACCUGAGCAACGAAUAUGAAUGAAACAAAAGUGCUGCAAUGAUUUUGUUUUUGAUCAUCUACUACAAUUAAUUUCAGUGCCGCUGUUCUUGCAAGAUUGAGCACGUACCUUGGACGAGCUGCAUGAGCAGCGGCAGAAGCUCGCCAUCGCGCACCGGAGCUGCCCAUGGGUCCGCCGGCCAUAGCGCCUCUGCCCGUGUUGUCGCAGCUGCCUGUGGCUCCAGCCGACGUGGCUCGUGCCCGCACCAGACACCAAUGUGGGGCCAUCGCUCAGCCAUCUGCAACUUGCCGACGCAGCACGCGCCGGCCACCGCUCCAUCGUUUGAGUCAGCCACAGCUUCACUGUGGAGACAGAGAUAAGCAAGAGAAGUGUGCAGUGAAAGUGAUGAGGUUGAGCAAUGCAAAGAGAUAAUGUAGGGAUGGAGCAGAGGCACCGGGUGGAGAUAAAGUCUGUUUGCUUCGCUAGCUUGGUGUCAUUUGUGCUGGCGGGCCACCUACAGCACAGAUGCAUCCCAUCUAUGCUGGAGCCUAGCGGCCUCGAUCACCUUUGUGCUGGUGGGUGCCAAUUUCGUCCAGCAGCAUACUAAUUUCAACGUGACAGCACAUAUCGUUUCUGACGGUACGAUAAUUAUCUUAAUUUUAGAAUUCUCAUCCUUGUACGCGAACUUAACCUCCCAGUAAAAUCAUCUUGCACAACCUGUUUAGUGUUCACCUCCGUCUCUCUAGCGACAAGAAAAUCGCUCGAUGCCCCGUGCCCCGUCACGCUAACGUAGUUAGCUCCACCAGGCCCAUCACCGUGAUCCCCCUGCCCAUCCAGCGGUCCUCCAUCGCCCGCUUUCUGCCCCCACCGUUCGUGUCUGUGCUCCCGCGCUCACCACCGCCACGAAUUAACCUACCUCUCGUGCUCCCGAGCUUCCUUUAAGAGGAUGUUUGAAUCCUGAAGCUAAAGUUUAGUCUUUAUCAUAUCGAAUAUUCUGGCUAAUUAGGAGGACUAAAUAUAAGUUAAUUAUAAAACUAAUUACGAGGCUAAGCGGCGGGACGAAUCUAUUAAGCUUAAUUAAUCCAUCAUUAGUAAAUGGUUACUGUAGUAGCACAUUGUCAAAUCAUGAACUAAUUAGACUUAAUAGAUUCGUCUCACCGUUUAGCCUCCAUAUGUGCAAUGGGUUUUAUAAAUAGUCUAUGUUUAAUGCUCCUAGUUAGUAUCUAAACAUUCGAUAUGACAGGGAUUAAAGUUUAACCCCCGCCAGAUACCAGUGACCCCCGCCAAAUCUCAAGCGUGUCGGGGAGCUCGUUGGAGCUUCAUCACCAGAGUGUAAGAAAAAAGCCUCAAGCGCAAAUCACGACUCAAAUCUGGUGGUUACAAAAUCUAGUGAGAAACACCCGAUGCCAAUCAGCUUACCCGACAAGAAAAAAUAAAAUACAUUAUUAAAUACUCCGUUUGUUUUAAAUUGCAAAUUUAUAAUUUUUUUAUGUAUAGACAUACUUAAAAUAACCGGAGGGACCAGCUUUGAUUGACGGCCGGCUGACUCAUGUUGGCCAAUCCUGAAUGACCAAUAAUGUAGCAAUGUCACACGUCCAGUGCACGAGUCGUUGCUCCAGUGUUACAAUGGUGUAUUAUACGAGUGGAAUGAACUACCACUCCUAAGAAGCGCGCGUAGAUUUUUCGUAAAAUGAUAUUUUGAGUCUGUGGCUGGUACCAGCUUAAUGCUUCGAACGCAAGGACCAGUGAGAAAGGGCCCAGCUGGAUACGGAGAACACCACGCGGCUCCACCGGAUUGGGGAGCACCAAAGGCGUACGCUCAAGCUACGUGAGUUUGGACUCACUCUCCUUUCAGCUACUGCCAGGCGCCUAUAAAUUGGGGAGCUCUACUGACCGUGCUCUGCAACCACAACGUGCCACAGCUAGCGAGAGUAGAAGUGAUAAGCAAACAAGUUUGCCACUGCUCAGCACCUGGCCGUUAGCGCAGCCAUGAAGGUAGAGCGCGACCUCCACAUGAGCCGGGGCAACGGCGAGACCAGCUACGCCUCCAACUCCAGGCUUCAGGUCUGUGAGCUUCUGCAUCAGCAUCUGUAACCUGUAGACUGCAGUAUGCAUGGCUGAAUGCCUGAAUCAUACGCAUGUUAGUAUGAUGUUAAAAAUGCAUGUUAAUAUGAUGUUAGCAAUGCAAAACAAGGAAGAAAUUGCACUUGUGCAUGCGUGUUAAUUGUAGUUGUUCUUCAGGAGAAGUCCAUACUGAAGACGAGGCCCGUGCUCCACGAGGCCGUGGCGGCGGCGCACGCGGCGUCGCUCUCCUCCGCCGCCGGCGCGAUGGUCGUCGUGGACCUCGGCUGCUCGUCGGGGCCCAACACGCUCCUCGUAGUCAACGAGGUGCUCGGCGCGGUCGCCGACCGCCGCGAGGACCUGAUGAUGGGCGGCCAGCAGCCGCCGGUGGUGCAGCACGUGCAGUUCUUCCUGAACGACCUCCCCGGGAACGACUUCAACCUCGUCUUCCAGUCCCUGGAGCUGUUCAAGAAGCUGGCCGCCGCCAAGGAUAAGGGCGAGUCCCUGCCGCCGUACUACAUCGCCGGGCUCCCGGGGUCCUUCUACACCAGGCUCUUCCCCGACCGCUGCGUCCACCUCUUCCACUCCUCCUACUGCCUCAUGUGGCGCUCCAAGGCACGCACAGUUUUAACCAAUCAACCGACCGGCCCGAGCACUUCUGAUGACAUAGCUCUAUUCGUGUGUGUCUAAUAGGUUCCUGAUGAGCUCGCGAGAGGCACGGUUCUGAACGAAGGCAACAUGUACAUCUGGGAGGCCACGCCGCCCUCGGUGGUGAAGCUGUACAGGAAGCAGUUCCAGGAGGACUUCUCGCUGUUCCUCAAGCUGCGUCACAAGGAGCUCGCGUCGAACGGACAGAUGGUGCUGACGUUCCUGAGCAGGAAGAACAAAGACGUGACGCAUGGCGAAGUCAGCUACAUGUGGGGGCUGCUCGCGCAGGCUCUCCAGUCCCUAGUCAAACAGGUUUGUCAUUUGCGCAACAUUAUCGUCAACUGCAGAUGAUCUGUGUAGAUCAAUCCAUCACUCAUGAACUCAGCCCUAGAUAAUCUUCAAAAAGUGACAGUCUGACAGAGACCUGAACCAUGGAUCUUGCAUUCUUCUUGUUGCGUGGCAGGGCCGUGUGGAGAAGGAGAAGCUGGACUCCUUCAACCUGCCGUUCUACGCGCCGUCGGUCGACGAGGUGAGGGACGUGAUCAGGCAGAGCGAGGCGUUCGACAUCAACCACAUCCAGCUCUUCGAGUCCAACUGGGAUCCCCAUGACGACCUGGACGACGGCGACCUCGUGCUCGACAGCGCCCAGAGCGGCGUCAACGUCGCCCAGUCCAUUAGGGCCGUGAUCGAGCCCCUGAUCGCGCACCAUUUUGGCGACCACAUCCUCGACGAUCUCUUCGAGGUUUAUGCAAGGAACGUCGCCAAGCACCUCCAGAAAGUGAAGACCAAGUACCCUGUCAUCGUCGUUUCCUUGAAGGCGAGACGCGCGCCAAAGUGCCAUGCGAAUGACAGGUGUCACUCGUUCACACACGGUCAGUUUGUGUAGGAUCUGGUGUCAAUGUUACUUCUACUAUAUACAGCAAAUUAAAGUGCAGAGAAAUAAGACGAGGUUGUUGUAUAUCGAUAUAAGAAAAUGAUGAAGUAGUUAAAGGGACUGUCAGUGGCAGAGAAUAGUUCCUCAACUACGUCCUUUGGAUUUAUUAGAUGGUUCAGUGUUUCCAAAAAUUCGAUGUAUGUAUCCGGUUAGAUAUGUGCUGUAAUCUUAUGUGGAAUUGAAGCAAAUACGUUUCGAUGAUUUGGGUCUACUCUUGUACACCUAGGUAGUAUCUUGUUCACUGAUUUUGGGUCAAUGCAUGAGUACCAAAGAGAUGCGGAGAAAUGAAGUACUUCUUUCUUUCAAAAGAAAAAAAAUGCAAUUCUAAAUUUAUCCUAAGUAAAAUAUUUUUAAAUUUGGUAAGUUUAUAAAAAAUCCAAAUAUUUUACGUGGAAGUGAAGUAAAUAUUUUACAAUGAUUUGGUUCUACGCUUUGUUUGGUGAUUUUUUGUCAAUGCAUUAGUGAAGAGUAGCAAAGAGAUGCAGAGAAAUGAAGUGCUUCUUCCAUUAAAAAAAAGAAUCUAUUCUAAAUUUGUUCUAAGUCAAACAUUUACAAGUUUAAUCAAUUUUGAAAAAAAAUCAAACAUUCAUGAUACCCAAUAAGCUUCAUUGAAUCUACCAUGAAAUAGAAUUAGUAUUAAUACUCUUCUCUAAAUUUUGGUCAAAUGUAAGAUAGUUUGACUUAGGAUAAAAAUAGAAUUACAAAUUAUACCAUCAAAGUUGUACGUCUUGUGCCCUCAAUGACUAAAUUAGGUCAGUACGCGCAUAAACUCCACCAAGAAAUCCUUCAUCACAUUGUACAAUCUUCAGCGUCAGAGAGGCUAUACGAUAAGUAGCCCAAAGGCCAACGAGAAAUCAUCAGUCAUCGUCUCAUCGAGUAACAUCAAUCAAAACACAUCAGGAGCAUCUGCUGCCUGCACCUGACGCACUCAAAGUCUGAAACCACAACGUCUACUGAAACUGUCAAUUUCCGAUUUGCCAUCCAAUGUUCAGACUUCCAUCCAGCUUUCUUCAGCCCUUUGUGACAGAAUGAAACCAUUUCUAAUCCGAUCAGAUCAGCAUCACCUUCAAUCCUCACACAGCAUACACCCCAAAAAUGAAAAAAGAACCUGCGUGGACUCUGUUGCCUCCCUUCCCUUCGACUGAGCUUGUACUGCAGAUCACGGGUAGCACGAAGCCGCAUGGUGUCUCUGUGGAGCUAGGAAGGAAUCCUUCACCGUCACUCUGCACAAUUGGCGUUGCCCUGUGGAGCGGAAAAAACACCAGGGCCCAGACCAUCGCUCGCCGGCGAUCGAACCGCCUGCCACUGCUUCGCCCGCGCCGCCGCAACACCGGCGCGGCGCGGACGCCAGCGCCUGGCUGCCUCAUCGAGGCUUCAAAUCUGAGGUAGUGGGGGAUUAUCCUCUCCGUAUCCAUUUCUGCAGCAUCUCCAGCUCCGCGUCCGCCGCGGCGGAGGCUCGCCGGAGCUCCGCCGCCGAGAUCCACCUUUUUUCACUUUACCCCUGAUUUGGAUCGCGACCAUUAAUUGCGAUCCGAUUUGUUCCACUUUAGACCCUGUUUUUUUAUACUUUACCCCUAAACUUUACAGAUCACCCCUCCUGCCGCUCCAUCGUUCUCCUCGUCCUCCCGCCGCCGGCGCGCGUUCGCCGCCGCCCGCCCGGCGUCGACCGGCGCAUCAGACGCACAACGAGCGGCUAUUCAGCGGGACAUUUUUUUAGGCGCCGCUUCCGUCGCCUGAUUAAUGAUAAUUUUUCGAGGAACAACCCUCAUCUACAUCGUGCGGAUGGCUUGGGCAGUUCUCCCUCCAUUCCCACCACGCACCCUUCUUUUCGGUACGCCGGCGCCGGGGCGCUCCUCGAGCUUCUGUUCGCUGUCGCUUCUGGGAGGCGUCAUUGCCGUCGUCGGUGAAGGAGGUCCAGGCGUCCAGCUUCCACGAGCCGGCGAUCCAUGGUGUAAUUCAAGCCGGUCUCUGGUUUGCAGUACUUCACAGCCACGAGUCCACGAGGAGUCUGGAGCAGGUCCUCGAAGUAAACCUCCAUCACAGUUUCAUCAUACAGGCAGGGUGUUCUCUGAAAGAAGUCACCUUAACAAUGGCGCUCAAAGUUGAUUCGAUGAUUGUUUUAUACUCAGGCUUUACAACAGACAAUUUCUGCUGAGGGUAUCGCCACUUCAUGAUCUAUCAGCAAGGUGUCUGCUAGCACCAGUAUCGGCAUUAAUGGUGCUGGAUUUGUCCUCAAAAGUUUGAAACUCCUCCAGCCAAACGACCUGAUAAAAGAAAAAAAAAG